RNAcentral lists this long non-coding RNA (68044 nucleotides) under Solanum tuberosum (potato). RNAcentral's name for it is "long non-coding RNA (STUB_LNC011106)". The stretch from base 31059 to 31131 matches the Rfam family "tRNA". Lineage: Eukaryota; Viridiplantae; Streptophyta; Magnoliopsida; Solanales; Solanaceae. The record is from RNAcentral.
CUCACAUAUGUAUAAUACCGAAUCCAAAGAUCUAAGAUGAGAGAAUUUUGGGAUAGCCGCCACUCCAACUAGCGCCAUGUAUUAUCCAUACUAGAUCUGACCAACUGUCCAUCCUACCCUCCUCUACGUUCUUGACAACCCAUUUUUGUCUUAGUCAAGUCUUUUAGUGGCACAUUUUGACCUUCUUUUCCAUUACUUAGAAAAAGUGAGCUAUUAUUCAGAUACAAAAUACUAUCAUUAUCGCCUAGAAAAUUAGACAUUCAACCCGUAAUCACAAUGAUCCAAUUACAAAUGCUUUGAACCCCCUAGGUCUAGACUGGCUCUGGCCCCUGGUUUUAUCACUUGACCUUCACAUGAGUAAACUCGUUGAUAUAGAGGAUUACAGUAUCGAUUUCUUUAAAAGAAAAAAAACCUUAAUUUAUAAAAGUUCAAAAGAUUUUAAUUCAAUGUUUGUAAGUCAGAAAACAUAUUUCAUAAAACGGUUGCAAAUCACAUCGAAUAAGUUCCAUUGAUUGGUGUAUGGUUCUCAUAAGGGAAGUAACAGCAGCAUAAGCCAUAUAUCCAAAAAAAGGGACUAUCUCUCACUCUCAGUAUGAAAAUGGACAAAUUAAUUGCCACAAGUUAUGUAAUUUUUCAGUUUUUAAGAAAACAGAAAAUGCAAAGAUCUUACUUUUACUAACUAUUUCCAUCACAUUUCCAGCUAGGUCCACUAACAGGAUAAAGUUGAAAGAUGUGAGGUCACUAACCUUAACUUCAAACAAAAGGUCUUUCUUUUAGUUAGGUUCAUAAUCCAUGUAGUGCUGUCUACUCUCUAGUCUCUAUCAACCAGCUCAAGUUUAAGGGUGUGUUUGGUAUGGAGGCCUAGUUUUUCUCAACUGUUCCAGUGUGAAUGUUUUAGUAAUAAAGCUGGUGCCACUGGAUUUAGCCUUUGCGAGGUAGAUUGAGGACUCCCAAGAAAGGAAACACACGUUAUAUAUGGAGCCUGUUCUGGCCUAUACAGUCUGUAUGUACAUAAAAUUUGGAGUAUCUAAAGAACCACUGACAAAUGAAAACGAACAAAAACAAACACUCACACAUUUGGCUUCUGAUUUGACAUUUAUUUCAGAGAACUGGCUAGUCCUCAGAAUACCUUAACUAUUUGAAUUGAUAAAAUCUUACCUAAAAUAAUAAUUGAAAAAAGUAUUUGAAAAAAUUAUUUAUAUAAAAGAUAUUUAGUAGUAAUUUACAUCUAAAAAUUUAGAAAAAUAAAUAAAUACAAAGAAAGUUUAUUUAGAUUUUAGGUCUUUAAUUAAAAUUUUGCUUUAGGCCUUGAAUCAUGUUGAGCCGCCCCUGAUCAUAUUACUCACUCAGUCAAAAUUUAUGUGGUACUAUUUGAUUUGAUGUAACAUUUAAUAAGGAAAUGGAGACUUUUAAAAUAUGUGGUGUAAAACAAAUCUUUAAUCAUUUGUGUUACAUAAAUUGGGACAGAUGAACUAUCACACACAUCAUAAUUAAGUGAUUUAAUGAAGUCGAAAGAUAAAUAUUAAUGGAUCAUGGUUAAGUGAGAGGAGUUUUGUGCAAACACGUCUUUUAUCUAUCUAUUUGAUUUAAACAAGUAUAAGUUUAUCAUAUUAGAAAUAUGAUUUAGGACCUUAUAUUAGGCCCCAUGAUAAGAAUCUUAAUCUAGAAAAUAACUUUUAGUCAAUAAAAAGUAGCACUAGUUGCGUACAAGGAGCUACCACUUGAUGAACUUCCACAGAACCACAUCCCAUAAGUUCAAUAGUUUUCACACUAUAAGAACUAGAUGUUUUUUUCCGCGUGAAUCAAUGAAAAUUGUAUGUUAUAAAACAUGAUUUUUUCCAUUUUAAUUUUAUUAAACUAAUUCACUAAGAAAAUCCAUAACAAAACAUAAGUUCUCAUUGAAAUACUGGAAAUAGUCACUUGGAAAUUUAGGAGUUUUAGGAAAUUAUGCAUCAAAACUUAGGAAGAGGCGGCUCAUAUAGAAAUUUGUUGUUAAAUCAUAAUAUAUACUUUUACAUAUGAAUAUCUUUAUUGAUUUGGUUAAAAUUAUAAUUAAAAAAAUUACAAUACAAUAUAUAUAGAUUCACAUAAAUUUAAUACUGUAAGUUAAUUAUUAUUAUUAUUAUAUAUUAAUCUAAGUUCAAUACAAUAUAUAUAGAUUCACAUAAAUAGAACUUUUUGAAAAUCUUGAGUUUUUAAAUCAUCAACUUCAUAAUUAAUAUGGGUAAAAUGGUAAACUCACUAUUUCAAUAAUUAUUUUCUUAAUAGGUGUGUCAAUUCAAAAAUGGACAAGUAAUUAGGGAUAGAAAAAGUAUAUCGAAAUAAUAUAAUCAAAUAUUAUGCUAAAGAUAAUAAACAAAACUUUGAACAAUUAAUGUAUGUAUGUACAUAAAAUUUGGAGCAUCUAAAGAACCACUGACAAAUAGCUAUACGAAAGAUCAUAUACAAUUAAAUUACAAGCCAUUUGCAAUCAUCCUGCCACCUUAUGCAGAAAAAAUGAAAACGAACAAAACAAACACUCACACAUUUGGCUUCUGAUUUGACAUUUAUUUCAGAGAACUGGCUAGUCCUCAGAACACCUUAACUACUCGCUGCAAGAAAAAAAAGGCAACAAAAAAUAGGAAAAAUAAUAUAGUUAGAUGUCCAUAAUUAAGGAACAGGAGAACAUUAUAGACAAGAAUGAGCAUGCAGGUAUAAGAACUUACACAUUAUUGCGGCAAGAAGCAACUUCUUUCUCAAAGUCAACAUCAUCAUCUUCAUAUGUUGUCACACUCUUGGGAAUGCUAGCCACAAAAGAUGAAAAAUGAAAUGUUACACUUCCCAAAAUCAAGAAUGAACAUGCAAGUAUAACAACUUACACAAUAUUGGAAGGAUUCGAAUCAAUCACAAUGACAGCAUCAAGAACUUUGUUGAAUUGGUGCAAUUUGACUUACUAAAGCUAUUAUCCAGAUCAUUAUCGAGUUUACUAUGAUGAUGAGUUGUCAAAAUCACAACAGUGAAACCUUGUUGAAAUCACUCAACAUCAAAGGGAGCUUUGGAUACAAGCAGUUAUCAUCAGUGAUGAAGAAGAAAAGAACUGUUCAUGUAAAAUGCAAAGCUUCGCUUUGGAUGUAUUGAUCUAAUGAGUAUUUAUACAAGAAAUGUAAAACUAAUGCUCUGUAACAAACUAACUGAAAGGAAUCUUCUAACUAACUACCAGCUGUACUAUACAACACUAUUAACUACCAGCUGUACUAUACAACACUAUUAACUACCAGCUGUACUAUACAACACUAUUAACUACCAGCUGUACUAUACAACACUAUUAACUACCAGCUGUACUAUACAACACUAUUAACUACCAGCUGUACUAUACAACACUAUUAACUACCAGCUGUACUAUACAACACUAUUAACUACCAGCUGUACUAUACAACACUAUUAACUACCAGCUGUACUAUACAACACUAUUAACUACCAGCUGUACUAUACAACACUAUUAACUACCAGCUGUACUAUACAACACUAUUAACUACCAGCUGUACUAUACAACACUAUUAACUACCAGCUGUACUAUACAACACUAUUAACUACCAGCUGUACUAUACAACACUAUUAACUACCAGCUGUACUAUACAACACUAUUAACUACCAGCUGUACUAUACAACACUAUUAACUACCAGCUGUACUAUACAACACUAUUAACUACCAGCUGUACUAUACAACACUAUUAACUACCAGCUGUACUAUACAACACUAUUAACUACCAGCUGUACUAUACAACACUAUUAACUACCAGCUGUACUAUACAACACUAUUAACUACCAGCUGUACUAUACAACACUAUUAACUACCAGCUGUACUAUACAACACUAUUAACUACCAGCUGUACUAUACAACACUAUUAACUACCAGCUGUACUAUACAACACUAUUAACUACCAGCUGUACUAUACAACACUAUUAACUACCAGCUGUACUAUACAACACUAUUAACUACCAGCUGUACUAUACAACACUAUUAACUACCAGCUGUACUAUACAACACUAUUAACUACCAGCUGUACUAUACAACACUAUUAACUACCAGCUGUACUAUACAGGUUUUCAGUGUUCUAGUAGAUCUUCUAGGUUGAACAGAUACAUCAAUGAGAGGGGCAACAUGAUCUGGAGCAGUAGGUGGUUCAAGUAUACGAGAAACUGUGGAUGGUAAAGGGGAAUGAAUUAUAGGUUCAGAUGGCAAAUUGCAUGUGACAGGUGAUUCUCCUAGAUUAGUUUGAGAAAUGCAAGUGGUAGGACUGUCAGUAUGAUCAAAAAUGUCAACAAAAGGAACAGAAGGCAACACAGAGGAAGGAAUGGAAGGAGUUGAAUUUGUAUGAAAAGGAAAAAUGUGUUCAUAGAAAACAACAUCCCUAGAUACAUGUAUCCUCUUUGUGGACAGGUUAAGGACCUUAUACCCUUUAGUCUCAAAAGGAUAUCCAAUGAAAAUAUGAGGUGUAGUCCUAGGUUCAAAUUUUGUUCUAUGGGGUAUUGGAACAGUAGGGUAACAUAAGCACCCAAAGCUUCUCAUAUGAGAAUAAAAAGGCUUUUUGUUAUAUAAUGCUUCAUAAGGGGACUUAUUUUUCAACACAGUUGAGGGAAGUCUAUUGAUUAUGUAUGUGGCACACAAAAGACAGUCUCCCCAAUACUUUAUAGGGAGUUUAGAUUGGAAUAAAAGUGCUCUAGCAGUUUCAAGAAGGUGUUUGUGUUUUCUUUCCACCACACCAUUUUGUUGUGGUGUGUAUGGACAUGUUUUCUGGUGGAGGAUACCUUUGGUUUGAAAGAAAAGAGUUGUUUCUGAAUUGACAAACUCUAAGCCAUUGUCUGUUCUGACUGUCUUCACAGUGGUGUUAAACUGAUUUUCUAUCAUGGCAACAAAAACUUUUAAUGCUUGUAGAGCAUUGCUCUUGGAGCUUAACAAUGUGGUCCAUGUAGAUCUACUGAAAUCAUCUACUAUUGUUAUAAAGUACUUAAAAUGGUCAUGUGUAGGUGUAUGGUAUGGACCCCAUAAAUCUACAUGUAACAACUCAAAAAUGAAAGAAGUUAAAAAGGUUCUUGUUUUGAAAGGGAGUCUUUCUUGUCUUGCCAUAGGACACACUGAACACAUAAAAGGUUGUUGUGGUGAAAAACUAGCAGGGAUAGUGGAAAUGCAUUUCAUUUUGACAAAAGGAACAUGUCCCAAUCUAUUGUGCCACAGAACAUUUACAUCAUUUUUAGCAUGUGCAUGAUGAUCUGAAACUGUAUUAUGCAAAUGAGAAGGAGAAGCUGAAAAAGAAGGAACAUGAGACUUGGCAACAAAAUCUUUAUUUCUCAAAGUCCCUUUUUCAGGGUAAUGUGUACAUUUAUGAUUUUUCAAACAAGAAGUAUCAGCUGCAACAUGAGGUUUACAAGAAUUGCACAAAUUUAAAUUGCUAGAUGAGGUUGAGUCUUUCAGAAACAAUGAACUAGAUGGGUUGGAACUCUGGACACACUUGGGACAUAGAAAAUAUAGGCCAUCUUCUGCCCUACCAAUCACCAGAGGCCUCUUCAUUGAAGGGCCCUGCAUGUAACAAGAAACUUUGUUGAAACUGACAGUGCAAUUUGAAUGUGAAGUCAUGGUAUGAAUAGAGAUUAAGUUGUAUUUGAAAGAUGGAAUGAAGAAAACCUUUUUCAAACUAAUCAUGGGAGACAAUGUCACACUACCAAUUUGUGUUACCUUAACCUUAUAUCCAUUUGGCAAUACUACUAAUAUUGGAUAUGGGAGUGUGAUAAUAUUGUGCAGUAAGGAUAUGUUGAAAGUCAUGUGGUUUGAUGCUCCAGAAUCUAGUAUCCAUGAGUCAGACUUAUUUUUGAAACAUUCACAUGAUAGUUUCCCAAAAUCAAUAGAGGAGGUGCAAACUAUAGUACCUGCAAAGUCAACAGUGCCACCAGUGAAAUUUGAGUUGCCAUCAUCACCAUGCUCUCCCUGAAAAUGUUGAAGCAUGUCCUGUACUCGACCAUAUUGAUCUUUGGUAAGAUUCACACUGUACAUCUCCUCAUGAUUAGAGUUAUCUGCAGAUCUCUUCCCAUUCUCGGAAUCUUGUGCACAAUGGACAUUUGCGACUGCCCUAUGUCCAUUACCUUUGAAUCUAAUGCCCUGUGGAUUAUGUCCUCCUCGAACAUUGUUAAAUCUCUGAUUUGAGCCUUGGUAGUCAUUGUUUCUCUGAUUUGGAACUGGUUUGUUGGAAUUUGGAUUAGAAGAUUGGCGGUUGAAGGUUUGGUUUGAAUUGGAUGGAUAACCAUGAAGCCGAUAACACUUCUCAACAAGAUGACCAGUUCUCUUGCAAUAGUCACAGAAUUUGUCUUUGUACUGCAGAGAGGGUUUGGAAGUAUUUGUGGUAUAAUUUGUUCUGUAAUUGGAGGAUCUGCUGGUACCAACAUGUAACGCAGCAGACUCCAAGUUUGGGUGAUUGGCUGGCUUAAUUUCCCUCUGUUGUUCCUCCUGAACCAACAAGGAAAAAGCUUGCGCCAUAGAUGGCAAAGGAUUCAUCAUGAGUAUGCUACCUCGCAUUAUUGUAUAAACUUCAUUAAGUCCCAUAAGGAACUGAAUCAAACGACGAUCCUGCUCCACCUUGUGAACAAUUGCCUUGGCUCCACAAGUGCAAUCACAGGUGCAAUUAGCUUUGGCACUCAAAGUACUAAGCUCUUCCCACAACUUCUUCAAUUUGGUAUAAUAUCCAGUUAUAUCCAGUGAUCCUUGAGACGUAUCAUUGAUCUCUUUUUGGAUUUGAUACAGCUUCGCUCCAUUAGUUUGUUCAUACCUGUCCUCCAAUUCUUUCCAUAGCUCUGUUGAAUCCACAACAUACUCAACACUAUCAGCGAUUUCCUUCGAUAAGGAGUUAAGAAUCCAUGAUGUGACAAUGUCAUCACACCUUUCCCAUUGCCUGUAGGUUGGAUCAAUGCUUUUGGGUCGCCGACAUUCUCCAUUGAUGAAACCCAAUUUGUUCUUCACUGACAGUGAUCGUAGAACACUCCUCCUCCAUGAUCGAUAACCAAUCCCGGCAAACGGUACUGACACCAACAUAGCACCCGGAUUAUCAGAUGGGUGCAUAUAUAAGGGAUGGUUGGAAUCAAUUGAGGGAACGACUGAAUCACUUGACUGAGCAGAAUCACCUGGAAUGGCCAUUUCUCAGCAAGAAAAAAAAUCGAAGAACACCACAGAAGAAAACAGAGAAAAUUUGAUCUGAAAACGAAUACAAAUCGAACACCUCAGAAUCGAGUGUGCUCUGAUACCAUGUCAAAAUCACAACAGUGAAACCUUGUUGAAAUCACUCAACAUCAAAGGGAGCUUUGGAUACAAGCAGUUAUCAUCAGUGAUGAAGAAGAAAAGAACUGUUCAUGUAAAAUGCAAAGCUUAGCUUUGGAUGUAUUGAUCUAAUGAGUAUUUAUACAAGAAAUGUAAAACUAAUGCUCUGUAACAAACUAACUGAAAGGAAUCUUCUAACUAACUACCAGCUGUACUAUACAACACUAUUAACUACCAGCUGUACUAUACAACACUAUUAACUACCAGCUGUACUAUACAACACUAUUAACUACCAGCUGUACUAUACAACACUAUUAACUACCAGCUGUACUAUACAACACUAUUAACUACCAGCUGUACUAUACAACACUAUUAACUACCAGCUGUACUAUACAACACUAUUAACUACCAGCUGUACUAUACAACACUAUUAACUACCAGCUGUACUAUACAACACUAUUAACUACCAGCUGUACUAUACAACACUAUUAACUACCAGCUGUACUAUACAACACUAUUAACUACCAGCUGUACUAUACAACACUAUUAACUACCAGCUGUACUAUACAACACUAUUAACUACCAGCUGUACUAUACAACACUAUUAACUACCAGCUGUACUAUACAACACUAUUAACUACCAGCUGUACUAUACAACACUAUUAACUACCAGCUGUACUAUACAACACUAUUAACUACCAGCUGUACUAUACAACACUAUUAACUACCAGCUGUACUAUACAACACUAUUAACUACCAGCUGUACUAUACAACACUAUUAACUACCAGCUGUACUAUACAACACUAUUAACUACCAGCUGUACUAUACAUAUAUAUACAUACAUCAUACAUUAUAAUCUCAACAAAUAUUAUUGUAAUUUGUAAAUCAAGGAAGAAGAUGUCUUACAAAAGCUCACGAGUAUGGACCUCGAUAGAGCUUCCAUAGUUGUCUUGAAUGUCCUGUUGAAUUUGCUUGGCGGAAUUCCCAACAGAUUGUUGACAUUUACUUAUAUCAAUAAGAGCAAGUGUGGUUAUAUCUGCAAAAUCUCGAGGGAUUGAAUCCAAAGAAUAGCAAUCUUUAAGAAAAAGUCGUUCAAGGUACGGAAAGUGAUCACUACUAGCUCUCCAGUACUGAAUGUAUACGUCAUCCAGAGACAAGAACUUCAAGUGAGGAAACCCUUCCUCAACUACUUCCCACUCCUUGCCUUUGAAGGCAUUGCCUGAUAGUUUAAGGACCUCGAGUUUGGGUAAUUUACCAACAAUGCUCAAAUCCCUCCAUGCCAAAGAGAAUUCUCCCCUAAAAGUUAAACUCUUAAGGUUUUGUGGAAAAGCAUCCGGAGGAGGUAAGAGUAAAGUUGGAACAUCAGUUGGAGGUGCAGUUCCCCCAAAAUCAGUCUCUUUGUGCAAUGUUUCCGUCUGAAACCUCAGAGGAUCUUGCGGAGUAUAACCUGAAGGUGCAGUGUUUUUUAGAAAGCAAGCAUCAUAUGGAUGAUAAAAACCAAAUGCCAAUUUCUCGAGCUGAUACAAGUAGCGAAAAUCAUACAGGUCCUUGUGAUUGCGAAAGUCCUCUCGGACGCCAAAUACUUCCAACUUCUUUAAAUUGGGAAAUAGUCUAAAAAAAGACUCUGUACAAUACCGAGGAUUCAAUUGAUUGAGGCAUUGCAAACUUUUCAAAACCAAUCUGUUCUCUGUAGGCUCAUGACUCCGCAAGUAAUUCCAGCCAAUACACAGCGUCCUCAAUUGUGGCAUCGUCAAAAUUUCCGAUGGUAAUAUGAAAGGAUAACCUACUUUACAGGUAAAUGGAGAGUAAAGUUUAAAAGUUUGCAGAUAGCAUAGGCUUGAUAUCGAUAGAGGAAUGUCUAUUAUUGAUGAGGGAACAGCUUCUUUCGAUCUUAGAUACUGCAGUACGCAAGGAUAAAAACACAAACAUAGGUAUCUCAAAUGAAUUAGAGAAAGUACUCCACUGGGAAAGAUUGGGCAUAUAGUCAAACCAAGAUCUAGUACUCUUACUAGCUUGAAAGACAAUUCCAGUGUGACGCAUUUGAAUAAACGCAACAUGAUAAUAGAAUGAGCCUCACUGUUAUGACACCAAGCCAAUUCUUCCUCCUUAUAGAUACUGAUCCGACUUCGACUCUUAAAGGAACACUGCAUGGAUUGUGCACAUGAAUUUUGAUCACUCUUUCCUCUGAUAACAUUCACAAAAUUCAUGUUUCGAGCUUCCUUCAAACAGAGUUCACGGGUCACAUCAUGCAUUCCACAUCUCUCUAUUUCCCCAUCAAAACUCAAAUUGUGGAUAGAAAUUAGACUUCUAUCUACAAGUUCGUUUAUACAUGUUUCUGCCACCUCUUCUAUGCUUUUUCCCUCUUCUUCAUUCAAAAACCCCUCUACAGCCCAUAACUCAACAAGUUCACUUACAUAAAUCUGUUCAUCCUCUGCGAAAAUUGCAAAAUACAGAAAACAUGGUUUUAGGUGAGAAGGCAAGUGAUGGUAACUCAAAGCCAACACUCUCAUGCAUUUUGCUUCAAGAUCUGUGCUUACCACCGAACUUACAUUCUCCGCAACAUUUUGCCACUCAUCCAAUGUUUUACUGAUUUUGGAGAGAAGUCCAGCAAUCACAGUAAUUGCUAGAGGUAACCCUCCACAUUUUAAUGUCAAUUUGUUUCCCAAUAUUUUCAAAUUCAGGAGAAUAAGAACCUUCUUUUUCAAAGAUCUUUUGUGUAGUAAAUUCCAACUUUCGUCAAAAUUCAUGAGGCGCAUAUGAUGAGGAGGCUUACCUGAACUAGCAUAUUCAGCCACUUCCACAUUCCGAGUAGUCAGGAGUAUUCUGCUUCCAUUAUUACAGUCUGGGAAACAUUGUUUUAUAUCAUCCCAAGCUUCUGUAGUCCAUAUGUCAUCAAUGACUACCAAGUAUCUCCUGCCUUUCAGAUUCUUUUGCAGUCGGUCCGCUAGCUGAUCAUCAGGUUCAUUACUUAUCGAAGAAAGAAGGCCUAGGAUUACAUUUCUCACACAAUACUCUUGUGAAACAGUUGCUUUUGCACGAAUAUCAAAUCGAGACAUAAUGUAAGGAUCACUAUAGAGUUUUGUAGCCAAAGUUGUUUUCCCGAUACCUCCCAUCCCUACGAUUGAGACAACUUCUAGUUCCCUUCCUCCUCUAGCAAGUUGAUCCAGCAUCAUCUCAAAUUCAUUUUCACGGCCAACCAUUAUAUUCUCGGGCUGCUCAACAUCAUGUUCAGGUAAACUGACAAGUGAGCUAGUUUGUGGUUUUAGAUCUUUCAUGCUGUCCGAUGCUGCCAUCCACUGUUUCACGGUGGAAUCAAUGCAUUCUAGUGCUUGUUCCAAGACGAAAAAAAUCUCCCACAUAGCCCUGCUUCUUUCCUCCAAAUUCUGUGCUAAAAAAACAUUUCUUGAUUCCGAGUCAACCAUAUCUUCUGUUGUGUAUGCUACCUCUACGAUUUCAACUUCCAAGAUUGUUAACUCCUCAUGAUCGCCCGUUAUAUUGCAGGAAUUCUCCAGAAUAGUUCUUAAAGAUUCGAGCUUUUCAUAAAACGGUUGCAAAUCACAUCCAGUAAGUUCCAUUGAUUGAUGUAUGGUUCUCAUAAGGGAAGUAACAGCAGCAUAAGCCAUAUAUCCAAAAAAUAGAAAUAUCUCUCAGUAUGAAAAUGGACAAAUUGCCACAAGUCAUGUAAUUUUUCAGUUUUUAAGAAAACAGAAAAUGCAAACUUCUUUCUUUUACUAGGCUAUUUCCAUCACAUUUCCAGCUAGGUCCACCAACCUUAUCAUCAUGUAGACAAAAGCAGAGACCAAAGUUUAAAAAAAGAAAAAGAAAAAAAGACAGGAUUCUAACUGGAAAAAGUUGAAAAAAUUGUGACCAUUCAUUAUUAUACCUUACACUUAUCUAUUCAUGAAUAUAAGUAGGGAAAAGGGCCUCAUUUACCCUGAACUUUAUGAUUUGGAGCUGAUAUACCCUUCGUUUAAAAAAUGGCCCAUAUAUGCCCCUGCCGUUAUAGAAAUGGCUCAUAUAUGCCCUUUUACUUAACAGACCAAUAUUUAAUAAAUUAAAAAUUCAUUUUUUUAUGCUUUAAUUUGAGAAAAUGCCACGUGGCUCUUAAAAUACCCCACCCAAUAACUUUUCAGCAACCCGACCCAAUGGAAACAAGAAAACCCCAUCCACUUAAAUAAACCUAGCCCAUUUCAUUCUAUGGUCUCCACUCUCCACGCUUGACAUGAAAAAAAAUCAAAAACUUGUUAGGGUUUCAGUGAGCUCUAAACUGGUGUCAAUCAAUCUCAAUAAUGUUCAAAAUCUUAGGUAAGUUUCGAUUAUUUUCUUCCCUUACUUUUAAGGAUCUUUGGUGUUAAAAAUAUAGGAUAAUAUGUGAGAAAAGUGUAACUGAGUUUACCUAUGUGCUUUUUUCCCUUGACAUUCUGUCCAUGGAAGGUUUAUUUUCUUACUUUAAUACAUGAGUUUAUCUCUUUGUAUGCAGAGAUGGAAUCUUUGUUGGUCCCCAAAUAGUUAUUGUCUCUUUAGUAUUUUAAAAUUCAUUUUUCAAUUGGUUGGUGUUAAAUGCUAAGGUGGUCCCUUAUGUCUAAUUUAUUUGCUUGUUGCAGGUGUCAUUUUGAAGGAUGAUUAAAGAAGUGGAUAUUGUUUUCAACUAUGGGGGCAAUAGGGUAAUUUCCCCAAAGCUGGGAUACAAUAUAAAAUUUCAGCACACCUGGUAUUAUAAUACUUGUUUAGUUUGUUAUGAUGAUUUGUGUGAAGCUUUUACUUCCAAAUUUGGAUUUAAGGAAGUUCAACAAUUGUUGGUCACUGGUCCAUCUGGUACUUAUUAUGUAAUUGAAGAUAAUGAUGGAAUUAAGACUCUUCAAUACUUAUUUUCAGAAGAUUUCAAGGUAAUAGAUUUUUAUGUUGUAGAUGCUCAUGAAUUGAGAGUUUCUGCCACAAAUAUCAUAUAUCAUACUGAAUCAUAUUUUGUGGAUGUUGAAGCUGCUACUGAUUGUGAUUAUAGUGAUGUGGAGGAUGAUACUCUUUAUGAAAUGGGCAACAGUUGUGAAAUUGUUGAAUAUAAUGUUGAAGUGCUUCAACGUUAUGAACAUGAAAAAGAGAGAGUUGUGAGUGAUGGACUUGAAAAGUUUAAGGAAUUAGAAAUGGGUAUGACCUUUAAGACUAUUGAAGAACCUAGGCAGGUUGUUAGCUUUUAUGCUAUGGCUAACAAAAGAAGUUGAAAACAAAAAAAAGUGAUACAAAAAGAAUUAGGUAUGAGUGUUAUGAUGGUUGUCCCUUUUACUCUUCUCAUAUCUAAGGAUGGAAAAUCAGCAACAUUUAAGGUUAAAACAUUGAUGCCUAAGCAUACUUGUGGUGAUUCUUUUGUUAAUCCAUUGGAAACUUAUCAUACCUUGGCUGUUUAUUUUAAGGAUGAAGUUCUAAACAAUCCAAAAUACCCUAUCAAAGACAUGAGAGGAAUUCUUGAAAAAAAAUUCAAGUUGAAUGUCUUAAGAUCCAAACUAAAAAGAGCCAAAACAAUGGCUCUUGAUAAGUUGGAAGGCAGUUUCAAAGAUGACUACAAUAGGCUUGAAGCUUAUGGUCAAGAACUUAGACAAUCAAAACCAGGAUCUGAUGUGGUAAUUAAUAUCUCUAAAGAUGCACUUGAACAAGGCAUAAGAAGGUUUUUGAGAAUGUACAUUUGCUUCAAGGCUUUGAAGGAUGGAUGGAAAAGUUUGAGACCUAUAAUUGGUUUAGAUGGAACAUUUCUCAAAGGAAAAUGCAAGGGGCAACUAUUAGUAGUUGUUGGGCAAGACUCAAUGAAUCAUUUUUACCCAAUAGCUUGGGCAGUGGUGGAAAAGGAAAACACAGGAACAUGGACAUGGUUUAUUCAGUUGUUGAGGAUUUCGUUGGAGUUGAAAAAUGGUGAAAUUGUGACAUUUAUGUCUGAUAUGCAAAAGGUAGCUUUAAAUUUAUUUUUUUCUUAUUGCCUUUUCUUUAUCUUUUUUCUUACUGUCAUUUUUUUCUUUUCGAUUUUUAGGGCCUGUUCGAUGUUGUAGCUAAUGUUGUUCCAGAAGCACACCAUAGGCUUUGUGUGAGGCAUAUAGAAUCUAACUGGUGCAAGAAAUGGCGGAGUGGUGAAGAGAAAAAAUUGAUGUGGUGGUGUGCAUGGAGUACCUAUGAAGAAGAAUUCAAAGACACUUUGAAGGUGUUAGGAAAGGUGGAUGAAGAUUCAGCUAGUGAUCUUCUUCAUUUUCCUGUAAUUAAAUGGUGUAGGGCAUAUUUUGAUACUCAAUGUAAGAAUCUAAUGGUAGACAAUAACUUCACCGAGUCUUUUAACAGUUGGAUACUUGAAGCUAGAAAAAACCAAUCAUUAAAAUGUUGGAGGAAAUUAGAGUGAAGGUGAUGAAUAUGUUGGUGAAAAAUGAAAAAAUGGGCAGAAAAUGGCAAAAUGAUAUCAGUCCAACGGUUAUGAAAUUGUACAAUGACUAUCGAUUAAUGGCUACCAAUGGUACAGUUGAGUUCAAUGGAGAUUAUGGUUAUGAAGUGAAAGAUGGAGACACGGACACACAUACAGUGAAUUUGGAGUUGAAGAAAUGCAUUUGUAGAUUAUGGGACUUGGGUGGAAUACCGUGUCACCAUACCAUCAAGGCAAUUUUGCAUAAAAAAACUGAACCAUUGGAAGAGGUUCAUUACUGCUAUAAAAAGAGGCUUAUUUGUUAACAUACAAGCACAAGUUGCAACCAGUUAGGGGUUCUCAAUUCUGGAAAAUCGACCAUGCUCAAGCAAUGGAACCUCCGAAAAUGGUAAAACUUGUUGGCAGACCCAAGAUGAAAAGAAAUAAAGAAACUGAUGAGGCAAGUUUGAGAAAGGGGGCAUGGAAGCAGUCAAGAAAAGGAACUCUAAUGAGAUGCAACAAAUGUGGUGAUUUCAAUCACAAUGCUAAGGGAUGUUAUAAGGUAAUCUCUCUUAAUAUUUUCUUUUAGUUAAAAGGUGUUCAUUUUUGUCAAUCACAACAAUUUUUUUGGGUUGAAGGACCAUGAAGACGGUGAAAGUUAGCAUGAAAGAAAUAAGAAAGCAAGCAAUCAAAAGUCGAGGAGUUGAGCAAGAAAAAACUCUAUUGUAGAGUAUGAGACAGAAGCUUCACCCCAACAAUUUCAGACAAAACAGUCGACUGCCUAUGGUCCUAAGAUCGGGAAUGAUGAAGAUCCAGCAUUGCGACCAAUGGUAAUUUUUGAGACAGAAACAAGGAUGGAAAAGAGGUCUCGAAUAUUUGAAGGAAUAGGAAGCAGGAAGAUUGUUUUUUAAGGGGAUGCAAGAGGAAUCUCGACCCCUUCGGAUCUACCAUAUUCACCAAAGAAGACUACUUGAAAGGGCAAGAAAGCAGUCACAAUUGAUCAGUUACAAGCUGAAGUAAAGAAGAAAAGAGUGAAACAAAUGGCAAUGAAGGGCAAAUGGCCCGUGGAUACUAAUGAUGAUCUAGUUUAGAAGUCGUUGUGUGGUUGAUCAUUUUUUGACAUUAGGUGGUUAUUUUGGAUAGUAUUAUAUGAUGUAAAUCCAAACAAUUUCUUUUGUUGCUAACCAUAUAAUAGAUAUUUGUGGUUGGUUUAACCACCAGAAGGUUAAUCUUCUUUUGCUGGUAACUUGUGUUAAGAUAAUUUUAUAAAAAUUGAGAAUUAUAUUCUACUGCAUCUGGUGUAAUUAUUGUUGAUUGUAUUUUGUGUGAGAGAGUAAAUUUAUGUGCUUUGAUUGGUAGCGUUGUUUAAAUUACGACUAAAAUUAGCAUUGUUCACGAUCUUCUUUGAACUAGUAGAUAGCUCACAGAUGAUUCAACGUGGAAUGUCAAGGAGUCAUUGAUGAUUCUCUAUCAUUUUACCUCGAGCUUUUGAUUCUCUUUCAUUACUAAAUAAUACAAAAGUUGACAAAAUCACUACACAAGACCAAAUAAGGUGAAUCAAAAGUUGUCAUAAAUCAAUACAAUGAACCAAAAGUUAAUUACACAUAAGUCACAAAACUGCAAAUGAGAUGAAAAAGUUUAGUCGCAUAAUAUGGCCUUGGAAUCUAUCAUUUAAAUUCCCAGAAAAGAUAUGAUCCUACAAAGUACUACUAUAUUUCCAAAUUUUACAAACUUUUUGCCUCAGUGAGUGAAGAAAAGAACCCAACUAAGCAACUGAAUGUAAAAUAACUUCAAACUUUUCUCUCGAAUUUUAAGAUUUCAUAAACGCAAUGACUCCGUCCACAGUUCGUUCGCGAACACUCUGAAUAUGUGGUGUGACGGCCAAUAAAACUUCAGCAGACUCUUGAUUUUCACUUGUAGCUGCAAGAUGUAUUAGCAUGUAAUUAUCACUGACAGUAUCCCCUGCCUUUACCACACAACGAAAGAAUGAACUGCCGCAACUGCUAGCAGAGGACACAUAUUAUCAUCUCCUAUUUGAGCAUCAAAAUUAGCAUGGUGUUUUAGCAAAACCGUAAUAGCAUCUUCCUGGCUGCGGUCUACAACGCAUAUUAAUGGUGUUCCAACAUCAACAUCACUUCGCAAAUCAACGUCUACACCUAUCGGUAGAAACAAUUUAACCAAUUCAAUAUGCCCAUUUCCUGCAUCAUUAAAUGGACAAAAUAAAACACAUAAGAAUAUCACUUCAAGCAAAGAAUAUCAAGAACAAAUUUACCCUAUAACUCUAACACCAAAGGUCCUUAAAAGAAAAGGGAAGAAAGUAAUCGAAACUUACAUAAGAUUUUGAACAAUAUUGAGACUGAUUGACGCCAAUUUAGAGCUCACCGAAACCUACCAACAUUUUGAUUUUUUUUCUUGUUGAGCGUGGAGAGUGGAGACCAUAGAAUUAAAUGGGUUAAAGUUUAUUUAAGUGGGUGGGGUUUUCUUGUUUUCAAUUGGGUCGGGUUGGUGAAAAGUUAUUGGGUGGGGUAUUUUAAGAGCGAUGUGGCAUUUUCUCAAAUUAAAGCAUAAAAAAAUGAAAUUUAAUUUAUUAAAUAUUGGUCUGUUAAAUAAAAGGGCAUAUAUGGGCCAUUUCUAUAACGGCAGGGACAUAUAUGAGCCAUUUUUUAAACGGAGGGUAUAUCAGCUCCAAAUCAUAAAGUUGAGGGGUAAAUCAGGCCCUUUUCCCAUAUAAGUAUGUUUCUUACAUACAAGAGAUUGAUGAUUUUAAUUCCAUUGAAAGCUACUUAGUAGAAUUUUCCAAAUCAAAGAGAGAGAAAUAUUAAGAUCCAAGUAGGAAUUUCUCUAUUCCUAGUUCGAUUCAAUUAACCAAGCAUAAAUAUCUCUUAAUAUACAAGAGAAGUUUAGACUCUAAAAGUCAAAUCAACAAAAUAUUGAUGGGCUAACACAUGAAAAACUACUGAGAAAAUCGCCUAAUUCCUGUAAAUUGUCCCUUAAAUACCCAAAAUGGACUCUAAAAAUUGUUAGAAUGUACGUAUUGCUCCCCCAACUCCCUACUGAGGGUUUUGUAAAGAUUUCGAUUAGAAAUCGUCCAUAAGUCAUAUCACUAAUAUAUUAAUGGUUAACACACACGACAAACUGAGAAAAUUAUCUAAUUUCUUUAAAUUGGCCCCUAAAUGCCUAAAAUGGACUCUAAAAGUUGUGAGACUGUACAUACUGCUCCCCCGACUCCCUACAGAGGGUUUCGUAAAUGUGUAGCAAAGAAAUCGUCUGAAAGUCAUAUCACUGAAAUAUUAAUGGGCUAACACAUACAAAACACUGAGAAAGUCGCCUAAUUCCUGUAAAUUGGAAUUCUAAAAUUGUGAGACUAUACGUAUUGCUCCAUUAACUCUCUAUGGAGGGUUCCGUAAAGAUUUCACAAAGAAAUUAUUCGAAAGACUUAUCACCAAAAUAUUCAUGGGCUAAUACAGACGAAUUGAGAAGAUCACCUAUUUCCUAUAAAUUAGCCGUGGGAUACCUAAAAUGGACUCUAAAAAUUGUGAGACUAACUCCCUACGAAGGGUUCCAUAUAAGUUUCGCAAAAGAAAUCAUUCAGAAAUCAUAUCACCAAAAUAUUUAUGGAUUAACACACACGAAAAAUUGAAAAAAUCGCCUAAUUCUUUUAAAUUGGCCCCUUAAUCCCUUUACGAGAUUAAUUAGAGAUGCGCGAGCGCGCGCACACACACACAUACACACACAUAUAUAUAUAUAAAGAAGAGAAGCUAGUUGUAGGGUUUGAUUGCCAUAAAAUACUUAGACAAUGUGGGUGACGCACAUUGUGAAUCUCAUGAAUUGACUCGUGGAUCAUUGUGAUAUUGGCCCAUGAAACUUAGUCUUAGGGAAAGAUUGUUGGGUGUGAGAUUGAAUUUCCACAUUUGAGAAGCUAUAUAUAAGGUGUAGGAUCUCUUAAGGGAAAAUUUCAUGUAUGGAAAACGUAUUUAAUGAAAUAACGCUCUAUAGGUAUAGUUUAGUAAUUACAUUCAAUGGGUAGUUUAGUUUGCUAUGAAGCAUUAAUUUUGUAUAUAAUGUUUUUUUUAAAAAUAAUUUAUACAAUAUUUUUUUUAAUAAAUGGAUACAUGAGCGCUAAAUACAGUAACAAAAAAUUUACAUAAUCCCAUGAUUCAAGCUAAUCGUUCAAAAUCAAAUAUUUUUCCAAAAAAGAGUUCUAUAGCAAUAGAAACACCAUAACAGCUGGUUUCCUCAAACGACUGAAGCAUACGAUUAAUCAAUAUUCUUGUAUAUUCAACACCAGGUAAGCGUUUCUUUCAAGGAAACUUCAUGUUUUGAACGGCAAGAAAGUAUACAAUUGAUUUGUAUAGUAUAUAAUUGAAAUUUUGGAAAACGGAUUAUUUUUGUUUUGUUCAUUCUAAUGGUUCGCAAUAAUUUAAUUUUGUUUAUACAAUAUUAGAUAAAUUUUAUAUUAACAAUUCAAUUCUAAUUUUUUGUUCAAAAAAUUGAAUGACACAAUUUGUAUAUAUGAAGUGUAUAUGAUUCGACAACAAUGGUGUGCUUUAAUUUGCUAAUUUUUGUUGUUGUUGUUGUUGUAAUUUUACUGUAUAAAUAAGUUAUACGAUUUGUAUAUUGUUUAAUUGGUAAUAUUGUAUAUAUGUAAGUAAUUGUAUACAAUUAUUAUACCAUAAAUAAGUGUAAGUAGUUGUAUAAAAUUACUAUGACAAUUAUAUAUAUGAAUUGUAUAUGAUUCAAUAAAAAAGGUGUGCUUUAAUUUGAUAAUUUUUGGUGUAACCUAAUGUUGACACCCAUUUUUGGACCUCCACAAUAUAUAUUAAUUCUCGAGCUUCUUAGAUUUCAAAUGAUUUGGAGUUAUUAGUUUAUAAAAUUUAAAUAUUUUUUAAAAAGAUUUUUGAAGCGAUUUAGUCGGCUUUAUAAUAUUUUAGAUAAUAGAUGGAUUUUACAUAAUUACUUAUAUAAUCAACGUGUAUUAUUAGCAUUUGGAAAUCAUCUUGAAAUAUUUUGCAUUUUUUAAAAUUAACUAUGUUAUUAAUUUAGUUUAGUAUAAAUUAAAGUUAUGAUUCUGAGUUAUUUGAAUUAGUUAGUUUAUAAUUAAAUUGUUUAUUUUAUUUUUGUUAAGAUUAAGAAGCUUGUUAAUUAAUUAAUAACAAUUCAUCUUAUUUAGACUUUGGCCGAAUUCACCAAUUAAUCCCAAUUUGGCUAAGUUUUAACUCUGAAUGGUUAUAAUCGUAAUCCAUUUAGCCCUUCUUGAUAUUGCAAUUUUAACCAUUCUCUAACCUUACCUCUAGCUUAUUUAAAUAAUCACCAAGGGGCUUUUAUCCUUGAUUACAUUUUCAGCAACACCCAAGCCCAUUUUUCCAUCAGCGUACAAUUAUUUCCAGCCAAUAAACUCCAGCAGUCCAUACCCACCCUCCAAUUCCCAUUACAGCAUACAACAAUUCCCAGUGAUUCAAACAUACACGUAGAGCAGCACCAACCGACCCCAUCCCCUUUAUUUCGCUCAUCUCCUCGUCCGUUUCAAAGUAAUAUUCUGGUGUUUGGAAGCAUCUGUUCUGUGAUUGUUCGUUGUUAUUUUUCAUAGGAUUGAUGAUGUUUUUAACGUAUUAAAUGUACACUUAAUUGUUUCCAUCAGUUAGUCCUAAUAUGGGGUCAAGUUCCGGAGAGCCAUUAAAGUUUUAUUUUGUUGUAUUUCUUUUCUUGAGCCUGCUCCUCGAACAUCGUCGAAUCUAUGUUCUUUUCGCUUUAGCAUCUUGAAUAUUGAAAGUUCCAUUCACUUUAUUACUGCUAAUGUUCUCUGUUCUUCCUUUGAGAUGAGGAAAAAUCUUCCGUACAAAUUGUAUGUUGUUGUAGCUGCUGUUCGGUAGGCAUAAGUGGUUAUUUUCUUCUUGAUUAAAUUUCAUGGCCGUCCUAUUUUGCAUUGCGAAUGUGUAACUGUUUAUUUGGUUUUUAUUCCUCCUCAUUUUCAGCAUAUUUCCAUAAUUUUGGUUGAGUGUAUUGCUUAUUCUAACUUGAAGCUAAAUGUUUAUAAUAAUUUCGUUGGUUGUCUGCUUAAAUGUGGGCUGAAUAUCAAUACUAUUCUUUCUAAAUGUUAAGUUAUACUCGUUCUUUUUGGUUUUUUUUCUUCCGAGGAUUUGCUUUCGACUAUAGUUCUGUUUCUUUUGUGCGUGUGUUUGGAGGUCGGCAUUUGGUUUUAUGCCAGCCUAGUUUUACAUAUCUCUUUUCACUUUCAUGGAAACCUUUGAUGUUAUAGCUCUACUUGUCGGAUUAGGUUUAAAAAAAUGAAAUGCAUCUUUGUUCUUCUCAAAUUUGUUCCAUGUUUUCUUGGUUUUUUAAAAAAAAUGGUAUAGCUGAUUAAAAUAGCAUUAGUUUAGCUCGAGAUUUCCUUAAUACCGUGUUGCUAUUUAUUCUAUCUCGCAUCUUAUAACUCGAUAUUAUUUGUCUUGGGUUCUUUGUGGCUUUUAUUUCGAAAGUUUUGCCUUGCUAUCGUGUCAAUUUUCGUGCUUGUUGUUUGUAGCUGCUUGAGAAAAUAUGAAUGACCACUUUAUAAAAAAAAAAAAAAAAGGAGUUAGAAUCAACAAUGGGUUGCUGUUUGAAUAAUUGACCUUCAGCUUAUUUUGCUCAAAUGUUAAGUCACGUAUGUUCCCAAACACGGUUCGUAUACAAUGGUACACGUGAUGUGUAUACACAGAUUUCUUGAAGGAAAAUGGGGGGCAAAAGCCCAAGGAAAUUUCAGCAAGUCCAAGAUUUGGGCCUAAUUUGAUAUUCCUCUCCUUGCUCUUAUUUAUUUUGUUAUAUUUGACUAACGUUUUGAUUAUCUUAUGAUUUAAUCUAAUUAAAUUUUCCAAGAAUGGUCAUUUCAUUUUAUUUUUCGAAUUAAAGUAUAUAUAUUUUAUUACUUAGUUUUUAUUUUAAUAUUUGUCUUGUUGACAUUUUAUGAACUAUUUCCCUUUAGAAAAUUCUCCUUUAGUUCAUUCCCCCUUAAGAUAAAUAAAAUGAUAAAAAUAAUAGUAAUAAAUAAAUGAGUUCAUUUACUUAGCUAAAUUUUUUUUUAAAUAAGUUAAAAUAAAUGAGUUCUUUUACUUAGUUAAAAUUUCAAAAAUUAGUCAAAGUCGUUAUGAGCUCUUUUAUACUUAGUUAAAAUUUCAAAAGUUAGUCAAAGUCAUUUUUAGUCAAAUCGUCGGUCAACCGCAAGUUAGCGGACAUUUUGAGGGCCUAACACCUUCUCGGAAUGUACAUUGAACUCGAACCCUUUUUCAAUUGAUUUUAUCUGUUUGAGUAUUUUGAAAAUCUUAAGUUUUUUCUUGAGUUUUACUAAAAAAAUUAAGUGGCGACUCUAUUCUUUUGGAAAUCGAUUUCUCUUAAACUACAAGUUUAAUCGAUUUUUUCGAAAUCCUAGUCAUUUUUCUUUUAUAUAUAUUUUCGAGUAAAACACCUAACUGUAUAUAUAAUAAUGUAAGGUUUGUAUAUUGUUUAAUUCAUACUAUUGUAUAUAACUUACAAAAUAUACAAAUAUAUAUAUAUAAUACAAUUAUGAUUUAAGCAAAAAAUAUACAUAUACUUCAAGCAAUUUUGUAUAUAACUAACAAAAUAUACAAAUAUCUAAAUACAAUUGUGAUUUAAGCAGAAAAUAUACAUAUAUUUCAAACAAUUUUGUAUAUAACUAACAAAAUAUACAAAUAUCUACAUACAAUUGUGUUUUAAGCAAAUAUUUGAUGUUCUUGAUCUAAUGAAGGAGACACAACCUCCUCAGAAUCACUAUCUUUGGCUUUCCUCGUACUUCCUCCUUCAACAACUUUAAUGUCGCUUGCCUUAACAUUGUUGAUGACUUCUGGGAGUGCAAUUGGGUCAUUUUUUUUCUUGGAUCUCAAUUCUUCAAUAGAUUUUUCCUGUAGAAUUUGUUUAGAUUUUUCCAUAGACCCUGCAUUGACUCCAAAAUCUUGAGUUAAACCGAGUGAAAAUGAAGGUUGAUUAUUAAAAACUUUGACAUGCAAUGACGUACCUCUCGCAAUCCUCUUAGAUGGAGUCGAAUCAUCCAUUUUAUUUUUUGUAAAAAUGAUAUAUAAUAAGUAAUGAGGGAAUUUUGAGAAAAAAUUAUCCAAACACUAACAUGCACAAUACAUAUACAAUUGAAAAAUGAAAAAGAAAAAAAGAAAAGAGGUUCACCUACGAUUUAUGCGGUUACCUGCAAAAAGUAAAACACGAUUGGAGGGAGAAAGUGAAAUUCGAAUUUCAAAUUGAUUUUAGGAGAAAAACAGGAAAUGAGGAGAGGAGAGGAGAGGAGAGGAGAGGAGAGAUAAAUUUAAUUUUGUAUAAAAUCAUAUACAAAGACCGAUGAAGGCUUUGUUGAUUCGGUAUACAAAGUGGUGGUGGGUCUCAUUAUUAAUGGCGAAAAAACUGAAAUUGUAUUUACUAACAGUAAAUAAAUUAAAUUAUACCCUCAAUGACUAAUAGCCUAGUAAUAUUUGCCAACUCACUUAAUUUUUCCAUAAUGUGUGAGACUUUUUGAAAGAAAAAAAAAUUGUGCUAACUUGGUUAAAGUGAACAAUUAUCAUACUCUAUUUAGAAUAUCUUUGGGCUAAUUUAUCCGAACAAAAACAAAUAAGUCCCCAAUCUAAGACCAUUAGCCGUUACUUGAAGACAAGACAUUCAUCAUUUGAACUAUUGAAUUAUGGACACAAGUCAAAGAAUCUUCCAACUAUUCAAGAAGUGUAAUUAAUACUUAAUAAAUAUAAUGUCAUCCUCAAUAACUUCAAAUAAUAUCCAAUAAUCAAUAUUAAAUUUUGAUAUUAAUAGAAAUAGUUAAUGAACCCCAAGUUGUAUAAUUUGAUUGUUGGGAUAAAAGAUAAAAGUCAAUCAAAAAUUUAAUUUUUUUAAGAAAUAAUCUUUUAAUUGUGAUUCAAUAAUGUAAUAACACAAGCAAUUACAAUACAUAUAAAUUUGCCAUGUCAGCAUAUGGUGUUCAUGAGUGCGUGUAUGACAAUAGUAAAAGUAUCUAUUUGGUCUUUUAGAUAAAUUUCAGUAUCUAAAUUACAAUUUUUGUCAAAUUUGAGGGAUUAUCUAGAUAUUUAGAUAAAAUUAUUUAUAUAUAAUUAUCUCUAAAUAGGCUCAUAAGCCAGUAAAUGAUACUUUAUAAAUAACUUCAGUUGUAAGUGUUUCUCUUACAAAUUCAAAUUAAUCCAAUGACAAAACCUUUUUAUGAUUUGACUGAAGAGGUUUCUGUGUUGCUGGUAUAUCAAGAUGAGGAAUUGGUUUCUAGUAAAUCAAAUGGUUGAUUUACUAGAGUUCAAUGGAUACAAAGGUGAUAUAUCUAGAACUAAUUUCUAUAUGACUUUCAUUAUAUAGAGAGAGAAUUAAUUGAUACGAUGUUUAUUUAGAACUUUUCCUUUCCUUGUUAUCAUAACAUUAUUUCUAUGCUUGUGUAUGUUGUGUUACAAGUUAAUAAAUGAAUUUGUAUGAUUAUAAGGAAUUAAAUUAGAUUCUUCAUUUUUGUUUUUGUUGUAACCAUGUCACUGACUCGAUUAGCUUUCUCCAUAAGGAUUGUGUAAUUUUUCAAAGAGGUUCAAUAAUUUUAUGUUAAAGUAUGUGUUGUUCUAAUUUUAUCGGAUAUUUUUCCAUAAAGGAGAUAGUUUAAGUUUAUGUUAAUAUUAAUUAUUUCACACUUGACUUUUUUGUACAAAAAAUAAAAAGGAAACUUAUUCUUUGUCAAUCGGGCCUAGAGUGACAUCGUGUUGGAGGAGAAAAUAAUUAGGACCCUCAUAAAUAAUUUUGAAAUCAUAGAUCUUUGAUUUUUACAAAUCUAUAUAUUGUUUUAGAAAGAAAACACAUUCACUUGGAUGAUUGAGGCACAAAAUAAGAGUAAGAGAUUGAAGAGAAGAGCGAGAUAAAGACAUGAUAAGAGAUGAUUUGGCUAUCAUUAUUGUCUGAGAUGACUUUUUUUUGUCUUUUAUUCAAUGUAGACAAACAAAUAAAUAGGGACAUGUGAUUUUCAUGAUUUUUUUCUUCUAUUUUUUUUUUUUGUCUUUUAUUAGAUGUAGACAAGAAAAGAAAUUUUUUUCAUGUGACUUUUCCUCAUUUAUUUUUGUUUCAUUUUCAAUUACUUUGUUAGUAUUUAAUAUCGAUUGUUCCUUAUUCAAGCUAUGUUAAAUAUUUUUAACAUAAUUUUUUUGGUAACUCCUUUCUAAUAAUUUGUUAAAUCUUCUAAACUCUCGUUACUUAUUUAUGAAAUAAAAUUACCUUAAAACUUUUUACAUAAAUUUAUCUUAAAACUUUUUAUCCUAUUAUAUCUUGCUUUAAUAGUAUUUAAUCUAUAUAUAUAUUCAGUGUUUAUUUGUUUUCAACAAGUCAAAGAAUAAAUUAGAAUAUAUUCUUUAGAAUUAUAUUCCUAUAGAAUCUUCUCUAUUAUAUAUUCCUACAGUUAUUUACUGUAAAGUAAUAUUAUAUAUUAGUAAGAUUGCACACACCGUUUACGAUAUAAGUUGAUUAAUAUGUGUUAUUUCAUAAAUUAAAGUAUAGCAACAUAAUAUGAAAUUUCAUAAUUGAAUUUGAAUGAGAAAUUAAAUAAACAUAUCCAAAUGAUAAUUUUGUGUAUAAUAUUUUUUUCAUGUUCUUCACUAACUUUAAAGUGUAUGGAUAUAUACAGUUACGACAGCUACAACUCCUGCAGCAAUGUCAAUGCUCUCCAAAGAAAAGAAAAAAAUUGACAUGAUGAUAAUCGAUGUCAAUUCAUCAGAUUUACAUUGUUUUGAACUCUUGACACAAGCUGUAACCUUAAAUAUAAUCUCUCUUGGUAAGUAUUUAUAAUUCUAUUUUUCACUUCUUGUUAUAAAUAUUGGGUAAAAUCAGUUGUUUCAAUUAAUACACCACAAAAAUAUAAUUAGCUAUAAAAUUUAUCGUUAAUCUAUUGUCAAGAGACGACAUCUAUCCAUUGGUAAUCUUGUUUUUAGUUAUAGUUAUAUGAUAAAUGAUUGUUUCGUAACAAAGUUGUUGUCGUAACAGAUAAAAUUCAGUAAAUAUAUGUGUGAAAUUAACUAUUCUCAUAAUGUAUGAUAUAUUUUUAUUUUUAUUUUUAACUUCUCAAUAUAAUUAUGUAGUUGUAUGUGAUGAACUCAAUAGACUCUUAGCCAAGAACGCUUUGGAAAAUGGAGCUUAUUUUGCUUGAAAAAGCCAUUCAACAAGGAAAUUGUGAAAUACUUAUGGCAACUUGUAUUGAGAGAAAAAAUACAAAGGGAGAAAUCGAAAAAAGGUUUAGAAGCAAAUGGACGAAAUCAUAUGAAUGCUGAUGAAAUUUAUGAUAGUAAUAUUGUAAGAGAUGAACAAUUUGGAGAGAAGAAUAUGCAUGUUGAUACUGAGGAACAUAACAAUAAUAUCCAUAAGGCUGAAAAUGAUGGCGUAUCAACUGGUAAAUACAAGUUGAAGAGGAAGAGAGGGAGAAAAGGUAUAAAACAGAUUAAUGAAGGAGAAAGUCGUAGCAGUACUGUUAUUAAUAAGACUGGUACACGUAAAUGACUUGUAUCAUGCAUUUUAAACAUACAUAAAUGACAAUGAAUUUGAGAUAAUAAUUAUAUCCAUAGUCCAACUCUCCUUUGAGUUUUUCUUUCUUUCAGAAAUGUCGUGAAAACAAUUGGAGACCUCGAAAAGAGAGAAAGAAUAUUCAUCACGGAUCCUCAAGUGAUUCUCAACAAAGAAGUAGUUGUAACACAUCAUUAGAAAGAAAAAAAAGGAGCUGCAAAAAACUUGGAAAAAUGCCUCAUCUUCAAACAAAUAUACCAAAUCAAAUACAAAGAGUCUCAGAGUUCCCACCAGUUAAUACCAACAACAUUUUUGCUAUUUCAACUCAGCAGCAACUCCAUCACCCACAACUUCAGGCUCAACCUCACUGCCUAAACCCAUCUUUGUCAGCCCAAAAUGAUGUUGGUGGUCAACUACAACAACACAGUCUGUUAUUUGGAAUGCGGGUCCAAUUAUUGGAAGCACUCAAAAUGGUUAUGGCUUGGAUCUCAAUCCUACCCAUGUAACAACAUAUUCAGGUAGCACAAUGAUAACUAAUACAAAUGUUGGAAAUGUGACACUUAAUGGAUUGGGAGCUACAAAUGCUAAUUUUCAGCAAGAUAUUGGUGAACAAAACAUGUUUGAUCCAAGUUCUUGCUCUCGUAAUAUUUGUAUCUUAACUUAUCGAAUGCAUUUAUGUAUCUUCCUGUAUUGCAAAAGCUAUAAUUGGGAAAAUAUUUUCAUCUUUUGAUGAGAAAUUUCUUAACCUUUACUCAUUUCUUCGUUUCCUUAUUAUGUAUUGAAUGUUUAAGAUUGUAGUAUAUUAUUACAUACUUAAAUCUUGUUUAUGAAAUUUUUUAAUGAUUAAUGUUUGGAUUAUAAAUCUCUUGUUUUGCUUAUGUAUUGAAUGAUUUUUAUUUUUAAUGAAGUGAGUCAAAUUGUUUCUUUAAUUAUUCUUGUGUUUUAAUAUUUCUAAAAGGAGCGACUAAUCCUAGGACUUGCUCAGUUACUUUGAUUUGAGCUCGAGAGAGUGAAAAAAGAAUAAGAAGAGAGAUUGGAAAAGAUUAAUUAACAAAAAUUGUGGUACUAAUUUGGGUAUUAAUAAACAAAUCCUUACUUGAUCGCAUAUGUGUUGUUCUGUGUGAAAUUUGCCUCUGACUUAUAGUUGACUAAAUUAUAUUGCAUAUGUUCGUGUACAUUUUCUCACUUGGAAGAGUGGAUUUGGAUGUUAUUAACCAUCACCAUCGUUUAGGUAGAAAAAGAAAAUAACUAAUAGUUUAAUGUUUUAAUACAUAAAUGAUCAACUAAUAUGAGACGGAAAGAGUAGCGUAAAUGUAAGAUUCACUUCUCACCAAGAAUCCUCCUUUCUUAUUAUUUUCCUUUUAGAGGUUAAUAAUUAUUAUGUAUCCCUAGAAUAAUUUAUUGAAAUAGUAGAUUUGAAAGAAAGCAAUUAUUCUCUUCUUCCUAUGCGGGACUUUUAGAACAAAACUAAUUUGACAAAAACCACAAUUUAUUGAUUUUUAGGUGGAAUUAUAUCAAUAAGGAACUAUGCUUAUAAUAUUAAUCUAAGAUCAUUAGGGGUCGUUUGGUAGAGUGUAUGAGGUAAAAUAAUGCAUGCAUUAGGUGUGUGUAUUAGUAAUACCUUGUUUGGUACACUUUUUCAUGUCAUGUAUAACUAAUGCAAGCAUUAGUUAUACACUAUAUUGUGUAUUACUAAUACCAAGAAAUCCUAGAUAUUAGUAAUACAUAGCGUUUUAAUACUUGCAUUAGAUUAUACAAUUACAAAACUACCCUCAAAGCCUUUUAAAAAAACAUCUUCAUUUUCCAUGGUACUGUGUUUAGAAACCUUUCAUCUUCUAUGUGGCUGCUAACACUACAAGAAAAGUGUGAAUUACAUGAGGAUUUUCCUGGGGAUUAGUAUGAAAAUCCGUAGGAAACUUAUUUUUCUGCAAAUUUUCAUACUAAUCCCCAGGGAAAUCCCCAUGUAAUUCACAUUUUUCUUGUAGUGUAAACCUUUAAAAAAAAACAUCUCCGUUAUUUAUAAAUUUGAUUGUUGUAAUACUUUUUUGUAUUUCAAUUGCACUAAAAAAUAGGAUCUGUGGCUGCUAAAGCAUAUGCCCAGACUCCUAAUAUAUAUAAAGUGCAUAUACUGAUUUUAAUAGGGUACCGCUUUGCAGUUAGGAAUUAUCUCAGGUCUAUGCUGCCUGUAUCUCCCUUACAUUCCAUCAGUUUUUAUUUUUUAUUUUUGGACUCGUUUUAUCUCAAAAUAUAUAUAAAGCACUACUAAUGCAUGCAUUACUAACACACCCUAUUUUACAUUAUUCUUAUACACUCUGCCAAACGAUCCCUAUUGUUACUUGAACACAUGGAUUCAUCAUCUGAACAAUUGAAACAAUUAAUACUUGUGUGAACCUCUUGUUAUUUCGAGUGAUGUGUCAGAAUCUUUAGCCAACUAAGACUAGCGUUAAAUUUUUGGCAAGUCUCAAGAAGUGUAAUUAAUACUUAAUAAAAUAAUCUCAUCCUUGAGAUUCAAGAACUUGUUUGGUCUGAAUAGGUUUUAAUCAUUAAGAUCUAGAACAAAGUCUUAAUAUUAGUAAGAGGUAUUUUUGUGUGAAUAGUUUUCUUUGAGGUUCGAGAAAUGGAAUAGAUAUGGACUACAAGUUGAUAUUCGCCAUUAGGAAAUUCACACGAAAAGGAACGAGGAAUUCUCAAUGAAAAAAGCGCUCUCUAAAUCUGUUUAGUAUUUGCCAUGAGGUUCUUACCAUAAUUGAAUUUUCCUUUUAGGAAAAGGUAAACACAGUCUCCAUAUUUGUCUAGUUCUUUUUCUUGUACGAAAAAAAUUAUGACUCUAUAAAUAGAUGUUUAUUCAUUCUAGCUUGGUAGCAUUCAUAAUGUAGUCUUAGGGGGCUUUGAGAGUUUUGUGUAUUGUGUGAAGCUAGGGGAAGAAUGUGUGAGACACAAGUAUUACUUUAACACUUGUGUGAACCUCUUUGUAUUCCGAGUGAAUUGUGUGAGGUCAUUCUUCUCUAGAUUUUGAACUUUCUUUUAUAUAGUGAUUUUUUCAUCUCCUCUUGUGGAUGUAGACCGGUUGACCGAACCACGAUAAAUGUUUGUGUCUUUUUGUAUAUUUCUCGUUUGUCUUAUUACUCAUCGUCUUUCGAGGUUUGCUUUGCUAACUUUUGCAUGACACCUAAUUAUUUCAGUCCCAACAAGUGAUAUCAGAGUCAAGUUCAAUGGUUUAAUGAUCCAAUGGUUGAACCAGGUCAAAAAUAAGUGUUCAUCUUGACGGGUUUAGUUCUACCAUAACAUAUUUGAUAGUAAUGAAGAUUUUUGUUGGAGAAAUAUUUUCAAAGAUGUUUUUUGUGUUGAGAUAUAUAUAUAUAUAUAGAGAGAGAGAGAGAGAGAGAGAGAGAGAGAGAGAGAGAGAGAGGGAGAUAUUUUGCAGAGGAGAUGCAUAGUUAUUGAAGAUUAUGUGAAGAAGGUGGAACAAAUUUAUUUUGUCAGAAAUUUAGGCCAAUGGAGAUAUUUGUUUAGUAUUUGUCAUGAGUUUCUUACCAUAAUUGAGUUUUUUUCUUUUAGAAAAAGGAAAACACAAAGUUUCCAUAUUUGGCUAGUUCUUUUUCUUGUAGGAAAAUGUUUAUGACUCUAAAAUUAUAUGUGUAUUCCUUCUAGCCUAAUAGCAUUCACAAUGUAGUCCUAGGGGGCUUAGAGAGUUUUGUGUAUUGCGUGUAGCUAGGGGAGAAUGUGUGAGACACAAGUGUUACUUUAACACUUCCGUAAACCUCUUUGUUUUUACAUUGAAUUGUGUGGGGUUAUUCCUCUCUAUAUUUUGUACUUUCUUUUAUAUAGUGAAUUGCUCAUAUCCUCUUUUGGAUGUAGGUCGGUUGUUCAAACGACGUUAAAUAUUUGUGUCUUUUGGUAUAUUUUUUGUUUGUUUUAUUACUCACAGUCUUUCAAAGUUUGCUUUGCUAGCUUUUGCAUGAUACCUAAUUAUUUCAGUCCCAACAAAACCAAACGUGAAAGUUGUUUUCCAGCAGGCAACUUUUCUAGUAGCUCUACUCUCGACUUGGAUAAUAUAUCCAAAAAGGUACGCUUUCGGUCAUUCCACAUGCUGCCUAUGUAGAGACAUGUUUAUCUAAAGUGGAUUCUCUUUUUUGCAGUAGGUAUUGAACCUGUUAUGCCCAUUGACUAAGAAGCUAGGGGUGGACACAACAACUACAUGGACCUCUUCCUUUCAUUGGCCAUCACCAUUAGUCGUCUUUGUUAUCACAAUGACCACCACCAUUACCGUCAUCAAAUAUCUCUGUCAUCACAAUUACCAUUCUUAUCAACCACUACUAUAUAUCAAGCAUUUGCUAUAUUUAUGUUUUUUAUCGACAUAAACAAUGGGUUAACAUGAUAUAAUUUAUUAGUAGUUUUAUAUAUUUUUCCCAUAAUAAAGGAAACAAUCACUUAUACAUUCUUUGAGAUCAUUUAGUGUAAAAUCAGGAGUGGAAUCAUAACUAGGGUUAUAGCUUAGGAUCAAUUCACCUUCUUAAUUAAUGGGAUAAUUUACUUAGCUAAAUUUGAGUGAAAAGAAGAAGAAAUUAAUUAAUUUAAUUCGUUUACGUUCCAAUGGGGUGUGCAAUACCCAUAAAUUUGUCAUGUCGUUAUUAGGUGUUCAUGAGAUGCAUAUAUUUCAAGCAAAAGUGUCUAUCUGAUUACUAGACAAGUUUAGCCGUCCAAUUUACAAAUUCUGCCAAAUUUGAGGGACUAUCUAGAUAUUAUUAAGAAAAUCUAUCUUAUUUAAUAUAAUAUUUAAAAUAGAUAACUUUGUAAUUAGUGUUCGCUAGAUCUUCAUAUUUUCUCCAACCAUUAUAAAUUCUCAGUGCUCUCUCUAUAUAAAUUCAUCAGGAUAAAAAUAAACAAGACAAGAUAUCAUACAUAAAAAAUAUCCAAAAGAGUUUUCUUUAAAUAUGUGUAAUCUUUUUUAAAUAGCAUAUCCCUUAAGAAGCUAUGUAGUUUUAUCACAAUGUCCUUCUUUAAUUGUUUUUCUUUAAUUAAUAAAAAGGUGUGUUAUAUAUAUCUUCAAUUGAUGAUAAGCCCACUUAUAUACAAAUAAAGUAAUGCAAGUGAAACUCUGUAAAGAAUCCUAUGAAGGUUCUAGCAGAGAAAUUAUAUUUAAAAAGGAGGGUAAUAGCUAAUGUGAAACAAUUAGGGUUGUAAAAUAAAAAAUAAAUCAAAAUAAUAAUAAUUAGGGUUGCAAAGCAACACCCUCUAUUAUUGAAGUUGAAGUUGUAAUUCGUAGGAUUAUUAUAUAAUUGUAAUAAUGCCUAGCUUUUUGUAACAAGAAGAGAAGUGUAUCAUCAUUUGGAGAGUUGUUAGAACAAUUAUAGUUAACAUUUGAGUUAAAGUACUAAAAUUAAUCUCUUAAAUUAUAAAGGUGUAAUUUGAAAUCAUUCGUUGAAGUUAGUAUAGAUUGAUUGAUAAGGAGUUGUUUAUAGUCUUUUGAGCAAAGAUAUUUUCAUUGUAAGCCCUUUCUUACUUAAUUAGCACUCCUUCGUUACUUUUUACUUAGUAGGACAUACGAAUUGAGGUUAGCUUAUCGCAAUCUAGUAUAUACAUUCAAUUAUUAGAAAAUAAAAUAAUAAUAAUAAAAUUAUUAUUAAAUUUAAGUUUUACUGUCUGGAUUUAUCAUGACACAUAUAAUGUCCACUUGGGCAAAUUUAUUAUUUAAAACACAAUAAUAAUAAUAUAUUCAAUGUAAUUUCAUAAUUGACAUUUGAGAAGAAAAAAUAUAUAUGCUAACCCUUGAUUAAAAAAUUAAAAUUAACCAACCAAAACUAAAAUAAAUAUUUAUAUAAGGUUGUGUAGUGAGAACAAUUAGAUAUACUGGUUUUAAUUCAACUAUGCAUUAAAAAGAACAAUAAGUUGCUGUGGUGUAGUGGUUAUCACGUUAGUCUUACACACUAAAGGUCCCCAGUUCGAUCCUGGGCAGCAACAUAUAUGUAAAAAGUUUUACUUUUUUUUUGAUAUGUCGACGAAAACGUGUUUAUCCUUUUAUUUGUCGGCGGCAUGUCGACGAAAACGUGUUUCUCCUCUUUAUUGUUUUCACCAUGACCUCUUCACUACUAUAUUUACAUUACAUGCUUGUUCUAUCGGAAACAACUCUACCUUCACAAGGUAGGGUAAGACUGCAUAAACGUCACCCUCCCCAUAGUACGUAAAAAGAAUAUGAGACAGCUGCAGGAUCAUGGAAAGAUCAAAUUUUCUCUUUAUUUCAUUAUUGCAAUUACUCCAUGUCAAAAUCCAAAUACAUUCUAUAGGCAUUUCUAUCUGAAGAGUAAUAGCCCUCCACAAGAGUAUCCACUUGGAAACCGAGUUUCUUGUAUAGCUGCAUAGCUGCAGUCCUUGUAGGAUCUACAUGAAGCGAUAUCCGAUGAACGUUUCUUGUUCUGCAUUUCUGCACUGCUGCCUCCAGUAAUUUUUCUCCAUGGCCUUGUCCCCUGUAGUUCUCUUUCACUGAUGUAUUCCACAGGAACGAUGCAUCAGUAAACAAAACGAAAAAUUUUAAAUGACAAAAGAUAAGGAAUAUUGUAAAUGAAUCUCUUAACCCCUCGUUUUUCAACUUGUGUUGAUUCGCUCAGGCCAGAGAACAACAAGAGAGAGACAGGCAUAAACAUCACGAUGAAAAACUCAUAACCACAUAGAGAACGAAAGCAAUUCUUUUGAAAAAUAAACAUCACAUGAAAGAUGGUUCUCUCUUCUAUGUAAUGACGGACAAUGCUUCACUGACUUAUCGGGAAUAUUUACUAAUAAUAUCAAUUCACCUUCUGCCUUUCCCUAUUGCGAUUCAAUAUGAUGACGAUCAGAGAAAGAUAUAACUAAACUCUCCUGCAAAAUUCCUUUAAAACAACUGCUAGCUAUUUCAAGGUUCGUUGUUUCCGCAAUAGUAACAUAUCAGCUUUGCUCGGAGGGGAAAACUACAUAACACCACUCUAAUUUAGAAAUGCUGCACUUUCAUCCAAUCCAGCUACAGAGAAAAACGUUGAAAGAGCAGAAGCAAUUUCUCCUACCUCUCUAUUCAUAGAGAUCAAAACUUGUUCGGCAAAUGCAUUCAUGCAUAUUCUUCUUUAAAAGACAACUUUUUGUAGAUGAACUGCUCCCAAAUAAGUAUUUUUAUCUUUUGAAUGCUCAAGUUAUAGUCACAUUCACACUCUUGACUGCUCUUUUUCCUACGAAAACAUUAUCAAAGAGUCACAUUUGAGUUCCUCACGAUUAUAACCUCGUAUAUUAAAUCAAAUUGGUCCUAGUCACAUUCGGAAAUAGUCUCUCUACUUUCACAACUAGGGAUAAGACCGCGUACAGACUAACCUCUCCAAACCCCACUUGUCUACGCGGUCCUAGUCACACUCACAUUGGGAAAUUGUCUCUCUACUUUCACAGGUAGGGAUAAGACUGCGUACACACUACCCUCUCCAGACCCCACUUGUCUACACAGUCCUAGUCACACUCACAUUGGGAAAUAGUCUCUCUACUUUCACAGGUAGGGAUAAGACUGCGUACACACUACCCUCUCCAGACCUUACUUGUCUACGCAGUCCUAAUCACACUCACAUUGGGAAAUAGUCUCUCUACUUUCACAGGUAGGGAUGGAUAAGACUGCCUACACACUAUCCUCUCUCCAAACCCGACUUAUCUACACAGAGUAUGUUGUUGUUCCAAUAAACAAUAUUAGAUAUCAGCUUAGACUUCAAUCCAAGAAUACAACUACAAUAAUCAGAAUAAAUUCAAGAAUAAGACCAAUUAUUAAAAGGAAAAUCAAAGCAAAACAGAAAAUUAUGAAAAGGGUAUUUUUUGUUCAGACCUGCUAAUUUAGUGAUACAAGCAGAGAGUGAAGAAGGCCAAGAAUACAUAACAUAACCAGCAAUAUCUUCACCUAAUUGAGUGUAGAGUAACCCAGAAUUCUUCUUUUUCAGUUCCUCAUCAAAAGAUCGAGCUAAAGAUUCAUGUUUGGGGAAAAUCUUCUUCUCUAUUCUCACUAUAUCGUCAACUACCUUAACCCAAUUUGCUGAAUUUCUCUGCAAUUCAACUAUCUCUGCCAUUUCUUCGUUUUCAUAUUUCUCUGUUUUUGCUGCUGUAUUUAGGUUAACAAGAAUCUACUGGGGUCAUUAUUGGAAAGAAAAAUAGUUCCUCUGUUAUUUUAAAAGUUUUUACUUUAUUUUUUUUAACUAUAAAGUUCUUAUAUAUUUUUAACGUUUUAAUUAUUAGAAACUAUUAUGUACAUUGUUUUUAUUUUACAUGGUUUAUUAAUAUAUAUAGUAUAAAUUUGCAUUCAUGUAUUAAUUAACUUAUCAAUUAAUCAAUAGUAAAAAUUCUCUCUGAUUUUCUGAUUAUUUAUGGCCAGUUUUUUUUUGUAUGUGUGCGUCUCUAAGCUCGUAAGUGAAAGUAAAUCAAUUUUUUAAUUGUUAAUUUAUGCCCAACUUCUUUAUGUAUGUGUGCGUUUCUAAGCUCGUAAGUGAAAGUAAAUCGAGUCUCACGAUAUCAUCUGUCUUUGUCAUACUCGUCUGGUUGAACAAGGACUAAUACUAGUUGUUGAGCAAAAUUAAUUUAUAAAUACUCUUAACAAGGUGUGAUAUUAUUUGUUUUGGGUAAAGUCUUUGUAAGGCUUCACACUAUUAAGAGAUUCUACACUUUAUAUGUAAUUUUUCAAUCUUUUCAGCUAUCAAUGUGGGAUUUUAUUUACCCAACUAACAAUUUUGUUAUUUGUUCUUACAUUUUGGUGUUAGCUUUGGCCUUUGUGUACUCCAUCAUAGGUUGAGGAAAGGGAUCAUAUAUAAUUGGAAAAAUACAAAUCAGAAUGGUAUUUUUGUUAGUAAUCCAAGGGAUUGGUUUACUUUUGGACAUGUUAUUUUUUUGGUUCUACUUAAGGUUAGUAAGGUCAUUUCAAUAUUAUUUUCUUCCUACUUCAAUCAACAGCAACUUCUAUUUUUCCUUAUAUGACAACGCAAUUCAAUCUAGCUACGUUGUUAUGUUAACCAACCCCAAAAACAGGACACCAUAUCUAGAUUGAUAAGCUUAAGUAAGUUUCGAUAUGACUCAUUUAUACUUCAAUUAAUCUAAAGUAAAACUUAUCCAUAUGUAUGAUCCAGCCAAAUUAUUUUAUCAAUAUAAUCGAAAUAUUAAAAACAUAUUUAGUAAUUAUGGAUAUCAUAGGUAUAGAUAUGUAUAUAUAUUAUACUAAAAUAUACAAAACCUAUACAAUUAUGACUAUUUGUAAAUUAGAUUAAUCAAAGACAUUGAACUGUAAUUAUUCCAAUCUAUACUUUAAACCCUUUUCACUUCAAAGCACUAUCCCAAUUCUAAACAGUUUGAGACAUGGUAAAAAAAAAUAAUUGAUUUUUUUUUUUUUAAGAUGGGGUGUAGUUAGGUGGAAUUUUCUUGGUUUUGUUCAAAUAAGUCUGCCUUUUGAAGCAUAGGCAUACUUGUUUCAUCUUUAUAUAUAUAUAUAUAAUAAUGAUGUUCUGGAUAACUUUUACACCUUAACUUGAUUAAUUAUGUGAGAUAUCUGUCAUUUUUCAUAGCAAUAUUAUAUUUAACUAUAUUCGCCCAAACUAAAACAGGUAGAAAUAACAUUUGAAUCUGUCAAACUGCAAUAAUGAAUUAUAUAUGGUGGAAGAUUCUUUGGGGCCCAACUGGCCCCACAGCUAAUAUUUUAACGGACGUCCAUGAAAAGUUUUAACAAAAUCACGUCGAAAUUCUAGAUCACCAAAAAUUCAUGGACUAUAUAGCACACGAUAAUCAGCAAAAUGGGGGGGGGGGUUACUUGCUCAAGGGCUCGUCUGACCUUGAAAAUGGGCUGGUUUGCCCGUGGGGACCAAUUGGCUCUAUAACUAAGGUCUUAACGGACGUCCAUGAAAAGUUAUUGCAAAAAAUCACGUUGGAGUUCCAUAUCACCAAAAAUCCAUGGACUAUAGCACAUGAAAAUUGGCAAAAUAAAGGGUUUACCUACUCUGGGCUCGUUUGACCUUGAAAAUGGGUUGGUUUGCCCGUGGGAACCAGCCGGCUCCAUAGCUAAGGUUUUAACGGAAAACCAUGAAAUUUUUUGGCAAAAGUCACGUCGGAAUUGCGGAUCACCAAAAAUCCAUGGACUAUAGUACACGAAAAUCGGCAAAAUGGGGGGGUUUACCUACUCUGGGGAUUGUUUGACCUUGAAAAUUUCCCGAUUUGCCCGUGUGGACCAACUGGCACCACAGCUAAGGUUUUAAUGGACGACCAUGAAAUUUUUUGGCAAAAGUCACGUCGGAAUUGCGGAUCACCAAAAGUUCAUGGACUAUAGUACACGAAAAUUGACAAAAUAGGGGGUUUACCUACUCUGGGGAUCGUUUGACCUUGAAAAUUGUCCGGUUUGCCCGUGUGGACCAACUGGCUCUAUAGCUAAGGUCUUAACGGACGUAUACAGAAAAUUUUGGCAAAAAUCACGUCAAAAUUUCGGAUCACCAAAAAUGCAUGGUCUAUAACACACGAAAAUCGGUAAAAUGAGGGUUUACCUGCUCUGGGGAUCAUUUGACCUUGAAAAUGGGUCGGUUUACUCGUGGGGACCAACUGGCUCUAUGCUAAGGUCUUAACGGACGUCUAUGAAAUUUUUUAGCAAAAAUCACGUCGAAAUUUCGGAUCACCAAAAUCCUAUGGACUAUAGCACACAAAAAUCGGCAAAAUAGGGGGUUUACCUGCUCUAGGCUCGUUUGACCUUGAAAAUGGGCCGAUUUUCCCGUGGGGACCAACUGGCUCCAUAGCUAAGGACUUCACGGACGUCCUUGACAAAUUUUGGCAAAAAUCACGUCGGAAUUCCGUAUCACCAAAAAUUUACGGACCAUAGCACACGAAAAUAGGCAAAAUGGGGGGUUUACCUGCUCUGGGCUCAUUUGACCUUGAAAAUGGGCCGGUUUGCUCGUGGGGACCAACUGGCUGCAUAGCUAAGGUCUUAACGGAUGUCCAUGAAAAUUUUUGGUAAAAAUCACGUAGGAAUUCCGGAUCACAAAAAAUCCAUGGAUUAUAGCACAUGAAAAUCGGCAAAAUGGGGGGUUUUACCUGCUCUGGGGUUCAUUUAACCUUGAAAAUGGGCCAAUUUUCCCGUGGGGACCAACUGGCUCUAUAGGUAAGGCUUAAUGGACGUCCAUGAAUUUUUUUUGUAAAAAUCAUGUCAAAAUUCUGUAUCUCCAAAAAUCCAUGGACUAUAGCACACAAAAAUCAGCAAAAUGGGCGGUUUACCUGCUCUGGGAAUCGUUUGAACUUGAAAAUGGGCCGGUUUACCCAUGGGGAUCAACUGUCUUCAUAGCUAAGGUCUUAACGGACGUCUUUAAAAAUUUUGGCAAAAUUACGUCGAAAUUCCAGAUCAUCAAAAAUCCAUGGAUUAUAGCACAAGAAAAUGGGUAAAAUGGGUUGGUUUGCCCGUGGGGACCAACUGGCUCCAUAGCUAAGGUCUUAACGGACGUCCAUGAAAUUUUUUAGAAAAAAUCAUGUCGAAAUUCUGGAUCACCAAAAAUUGAUGGACUAGCACACAAAAAUUGGCAAAAUGGGGGGUUUACCUACUCUGGGGAUCGUUUGACCUUGUAACUGGGCCAAUUUUCCUGUGGGACCAACUGGCUCCAUAACUAAGGUCUUAACGGACGUCCAUGGAAAUUUUUGGAAAAAAUCACAUCAGAAUUCCGGAUCACCAAAAAUUCAUGGAUUAUAGCUCACGAAAAUUGGCAAAAUGGGGGGUUUACCUGCUCUUGGGCUCAUUUGACGUUGAAAAUGAGCCGGUUUGCUCGUGGGGACCAACUGGCUCCAUAGCUAAGGUCUUAACGGACGUCCAUAAAUUUUUUUGGCAAAAAUCACGUCGGAAUUCCGGAUCACAUUCAUGACUAUUUGUAAAUUAGAUUGAUCAAAGACAUUGAACUGUAAUUAUUCCAAUCUAUUCUUUAAACCUUUUUCACUUCAAAGUACUAUCCCAAUUCUAAACAGGUUGAGACCUAGUAAAAAAAAUGAUUUUUUUUAAAGAUGGGGUGUAGUUAGGUGGAAUUUUCUUGGUUUUGUUCAAAUAAGUCUGCCUUUUGAAGCAUCGGCUAUUCUUGUUUCAUCUUUAUUUUAUUUUUCAUAAUAAUGGUGUUCUGGAUAACUUUCACACCUUGACUUGAUUAAUUAUGUGAGAUAUUUAUCUGAUCAUUUUUCAUCAGCAAUAUUUAACUAUAUUCGCCUAAACUAAAACAGGUAGAAAUAACAUUUGAAUCUGUCAAACUUCAAUAAUGAAUUAUAUAUGGUAGAAGAUUCUUUGGGGCCAUUAUGCAAUGAUAGUGGAACAUGAGAAUAUUUUUAUGAUUGGUAAAAAUAUCAUGGGAAUGGCGAAAAACUAGCUUUGAUAAGAAGAAUAUGAUGCUUUAUAACAUUAUCAAGGGAACAAAAGUCAUUUUUAUAUAUUUGAAGAAAAGAAAGUUUUCACAUUACAAUAAUUGGGAUGCCUAUAAAUGUGUGGUUCAAAAUGAUAGUGACAAGCCACAUAUUAUAUUGAAGCAUUAAUUAAUCAUAGUAAAGAAAGUUCAAUGUUAUUAUUAGGGGCAAUUUGUGCAAAGUAGAUAUGACCUAAGUUGCUUGAACGCAAAGGUAAUGUUAUAAUGUUUGUGAAAAAUUGAUAGAUCAUUAAAUCAUUAAACCUAUUACCUAUAUAAGAUUUAGUGCUAAUUACAAUCAUUUCUAUGUAGUGUAAGUGAUGUUGGAUUAGGUGGAUAUCAACUUAUCAAAGUGGACACCAAAUUUUUUAAAUUGCUUUCUCUAGUGUUACACUAACUUUAAUAAGUGGAAAUCCUUAGACAAUUGUUGAAGAUAUCUAUCAUAUUUGAUCAAAUAAAACAUAAGUUAUCAAUCAUAGAAUCAGAUAUAUACCUUUAAAUUCACGGGAGCGUUUGACUAUGUUUCAUUGUGAAAUUUGAUUUUUCUUUUCAAGUAAAAAAAGAUAAAUUGAAAUUAGAUAUUGUUAUCAACUUGUAUACCACUAGUUCGAAAGGCAUAAUUUCUUAAACUGACAUUCAAACUUAGCCUCCACUUACAAGUAAUUACUUCAACUUUUUCAUUAUGUAUGCAUAUUUAGACACCUUAUAAACUCGACUCAUUUCCACUAUACCAGCUAAACUCUCCAACAUAUGUACAAAAUAAUCAUCUAGUCACCUUCAAAAUUUAUUCAUUACAUCAGCAUCGAAUGUAAUGAGAUACAGAGACGAGUUGAGUAUUUAGUAGACCGUUGAAACCAAGUUGAGGUGUCCAUACCUAUACAACAAUUAUCACAGGUGACAUGCUUUCAAAUAAUUUUGAAGUAUUAAAAAUAGAUGAUUUAUUAAAAUAAGAUAUUUCUCACCAUAAGCAAUUUUCAAUUCUUUCGCAUCAAACGCACCCAUAUUUAGAAUGUUCUAUACUAUCACUCUCCAUAGACGGCAGCCAUCAUGUCAAUCACCACCCACCAGCACUUGCUGUUGUUAACCUUGCCAAAUAGAUAAUGACAAGUUGGCAUAUGAGAUAGGUGGUCUACGCCUAUCAACAUGAGUUGUGGUGCAAUGGUGGAAUUGCUCAAUCCUUAAUUAGAAAUUUCAGGUUUGAGUCUUGGGUAUGAAGAAAAUUCUAUUGGAAGCGUCACUCUCAAAUGAGUCCUGUGCUGUACAAUUCAGAUUUAAUUAAGGCUUUAAUGCAGACUCCGAACAGUGAGCGUGAGAAAAAAAGAGAGGUGGCCUAUGCCUAUUUCUCUUUGAGAUGUUGAUGCCUUGAUUUUGAAUGUCUUGUUUUUCAAUCCUCGUGCUUAUAUCUUUGAAUAUUCAUUACUUUCUCUAGAUGUGAAAACUACUCUUUCCGUUUCAAUUUGAAUAUUCAGAUUAUAAAGAAUAUUUUUUUUAUAUUUUACGUAACUUUAAUCGAAUACCAUAUAAUUUAAAAGUUCGUUUUACUUUUUUAAAUCAAAAUCAAAUAAAUAAAUUAAAACGAAAGGAGUGAUGGCUGAGAUGUCCUGUAAAAUGGUAUUGGUCUCUUUAGUGGGAUUUUGUUAUUUUGAUUUUAAAUUGACACAAGAAGCUAAACAAGCUUUGUCUUCUUAAUGAUUGGAUUUGAUUCAUCUUUUCAAUUUCAAUUGAGUCUGUCUCAAAAUUCAUAAUGUUAACUAUAUAAAUCCAGGUGAUCAUAUAUUACAUUGAUCUAAGAUGUAUAUUCAUAUCAUAUAUCGCGUUACUAAAUAUAAUUACAUUGUAUGAACACGCGAAGAAGAUGAUCAGAACAAGAGAAGACAUGUUACUAAACAACAACAUAAGAAAAAACAAAUUCUGUUAAGUGAUUGAUCCGCGUGUGAUAGUUGUCUUCUUAACCUUGGACUAUUGCUUCCUGCUAGAUUAUAUGAACUUGAAUAUGUAUACAAAUUAGUAUUCAAUGAGUUCCCAAACAUUCGCGCAUAAAAAAUUUCCCCUGUUGUCGUUCCACCAGGACUUAGCAUAUGUUCUGUAUUUGUAUAAUUUCGAUGAUGAUCAUGAGAUUGUUGGUAUAAUGGAGGCAUAUUAUUAUUGGGUAUUACUCCGUGACUCCUACAUCUCGGAGUAGGAGGUCUUUGUGGUAUGACUAUACCAAGAUUCAGGGCCUUGCCUGCUGUUUUUGUAGCUUGACCGCGACCAUAGAGUGGAAUCAAUGUUUUUUGUGAGACUUCAGCUUUGCAAACAGGGCAUUUUGGCUGUUGAUUAUCGAUGUUCUCUGAUGAAAUGGUCUUAAUAUGUAUCCAUUUGUAGAUGCAAGGCCAACAAUAGAGGUGACCACAUAAUGUAACAACAGGAUCAUGUACAACAUCCAGGCAAAUGUUGCACUCGAAACCUCCAGGUGAAUUUUCUUCAAGUUUAUCAAGAUCAAUUGUCUUACAUUUUUCAAAGGAAAUAUCGCGUUGAUCAAAAAUAGUUUCUGGUAUUUGGUCUUGAAAAAUUUGUUCUAAGGCCAUAUUUGCUUCUUGGUAUUGAUUUAUUUUGGUAAUGGCAAGAUGAAUGGUUAGAAUUCAGGUUUUUAAUACAAUUAGAAGUGAGUAUUUAUAAGGACAAGAAUAGUAGUUUGCAAACAAUGAUUCUUAAGGUUGUCACUUGUCAACAUCACAUCAUGUUAAAGGGGCAUGGCCAAAAAGAAAAGGCCCUACACAUUAUUAAACAACACUAUAUCAUAUUACUCAACUCAGUUUUGAUUUAUGGGUACUGUUUGAUUUGAUAUAACAUUUAAUAAGAAAAUGAAAACUUUUAAAAUAUGUACUGUAUUAAAGAUAAAAAAUAAAUUUUAAAUUUUUAGAUCCUAGAAAUGAUAUUCUUUUUAUAUUAAGACUACAACAAAUGUCUUACAUAAAUUAAGACAGGUGAACUAUCAAACACAUCAUAAUUAAGUGAUUUAAUGAAGUCAAAAAUAAAUAUUAAUGGAUCAUGGUUAAGUGAGAGGAGUUUUGUGCAAACACGUCUUUUAUCUAUCUAUUUGAUUUAAACAAGCAUAAGUUUUAUCAUAUUAGAAAUAUGAUUAGGACCUUAUAUUAGGCCCCAUGAUAAGAAUCUUAAUCUAGAAAAUAACUUUUAGUCAAUAAAAAGUAGCACUAGUUGCGUACAAGGAGCUACCACUUGAUGACCUUCCACACAGCCACAUCCCAUAAGUUCAAUAGUUUUCACACUAUAAGAACUAGAUGUUUUUUUCCGAGUGAAUCAAUAAAAAUUUUAUGUUAUAAAACAUGAUUUUUUUCAUUUUGAUUUUAUUAAACUAAUUCACUAAGAAAACCCAUAACGAAACAUAAGUUCUCAUUGAAAUACUGGAAAUAGUCACUUGGAAAUUUAUGAGUUUUAGGAAAUUAUGCAUCAAAACUUAGAAAGACGCGGCUCAUAUAGAAAUUUGUUGUUAAAUCAUAAUAUAUACUUUUACAUCUGAAUAUCUUUAUUGAUUUGGUUAAAAUUAUAAUUAAAAAAAUUACAAUACAAUAUAUAUAGAUUCACAUAAAUUUAAUACUGUAAGUUCAAUUAUUAUUAUGAUAUAUUAAUCUAAAAUUAUUAUAGAAGCUUCUAAACUCUAAAUUCAGAUCCAACUAAGGAGUGAAUAUACAUAGUGGGGGUCUGGGGGAUGGGAGAAAACAUAUGGACGGUGUGACAAAUAAAUAAAAGAAAUACUCCGUCCAUUCCAUUUGACUUAGUAUUGUUUGACUUAAUACGAUGUAUAAGAGAAAAAAAAGAUUUUAGAAAAUUAUAGGCUAAAACAAUUUUUAUAUAUUUAUAUAAUUGUAAAUCAUUUCAUUAAUUAAGGGUAGAUGGAGAAUUUUAAGUUUAAUUAUUUUCAAUUACAAUAAAAUGACAUUUUUAAAGACGGAUUAUGAGAAUAGAGUGCCACGUAAUAUAAAACGAGAAAAUACUACUCCCUCCUUCCCAUUUUAUAUGUUACCUUUUUACUUUACAUUUACAUUAAGAAAUAAUGUAACUUUACCCUUCUACCCUUAUUUAAUGUUUUCUUAAGUUAACUUUAUAACUCCCUCCGUCCCAUUUUAUAUGUCAUCUCUUUCUAUAAAUAGUUGGACCACAAUACUUGUCAUUUUAUAAAAUUUAUGUAUAAAUUACCAUAUUUUACCUAUUAUAUCCUUGAUAGAGUAGUUAAUUAAUCUUGAAAAUAUAUUCAUCAUUUAUUAUAAAUUGACUUAAGAAAAUAUUAAAUAAGAAUAGAAAGAUAAAAUUACAUCAUUCUUCAACAAGUGGUAUCAGAGCCAGGUUAAUAAGAGCGAGGUAGUAACUCAAAAGAGAUCCUACAAGCUACCGUCGGAGGCUACAAAUCGCGAGGCACUAAUUAAUGAUGGAUUUUGCAAGCACUCUCAAUAGCGUUGAGANNNNNNNNNNNNNNNNNNNNNNNNNNNNNNNNNNNNNNNNNNNNNNNNNNNNNNNNNNNNNNNNNNNNNNNNNNNNNNNNNNNNNNNNNNNNNNNNNNNNNNNNNNNNNNNNNNNNNNNNNNNNNNNNNNNNNNNNNNNNNNNNNNNNNNNNNNNNNNNNNNNNNNNNNNNNNNNNNNNNNNNNNNNNNNNNNNNNNNNNNNNNNNNNNNNNNNNNNNNNNNNNNNNNNNNNNNNNNNNNNNNNNNNNNNNNNNNNNNNNNNNNNNNNNNNNNNNNNNNNNNNNNNNNNNNNNNNNNNNNNNNNNNNNNNNNNNNNNNNNNNNNNNNNNNNNNNNNNNNNNNNNNNNNNNNNNNNNNNNNNNNNNNNNNNNNNNNNNNNNNNNNNNNNNNNNNNNNNNNNNNNNNNNNNNNNNNNNNNNNNNNNNNNNNNNNNNNNNNNNNNNNNNNNNNNNNNNNNNNNNNNNNNNNNNNNNNNNNNNNNNNNNNNNNNNNNNNNNNNNNNNNNNNNNNNNNNNNNNNNNNNNNNNNNNNNNNNNNNNNNNNNNNNNNNNNNNNNNNNNNNNNNNNNNNNNNNNNNNNNNNNNNNNNNNNNNNNNNNNNNNNNNNNNNNNNNNNNNNNNNNNNNNNNNNNNNNNNNNNNNNNNNNNNNNNNNNNNNNNNNNNNNNNNNNNNNNNNNNNNNNNNNNNNNNNNNNNNNNNNNNNNNNNNNNNNNNNNNNNNNNNNNNNNNNNNNNNNNNNNNNNNNNNNNNNNNNNNNNNNNNNNNNNNNNNNNNNNNNNNNNNNNNNNNNNNNNNNNNNNNNNNNNNNNNNNNNNNNNNNNNNNNNNNNNNNNNNNNNNNNNNNNNNNNNNNNNNNNNNNNNNNNNNNNNNNNNNNNNNNNNNNNNNNNNNNNNNNNNNNNNNNNNNNNNNNNNNNNNNNNNNNNNNNNNNNNNNNNNNNNNNNNNNNNNNNNNNNNNNNNNNNNNNNNNNNNNNNNNNNNNNNNNNNNNNNNNNNNNNNNNNNNNNNNNNNNNNNNNNNNNNNNNNNNNNNNNNNNNNNNNNNNNNNNNNNNNNNNNNNNNNNNNNNNNNNNNNNNNNNNNNNNNNNNNNNNNNNNNNNNNNNNNNNNNNNNNNNNNNNNNNNNNNNNNNNNNNNNNNNNNNNNNNNNNNNNNNNNNNNNNNNNNNNNNNNNNNNNNNNNNNNNNNNNNNNNNNNNNNNNNNNNNNNNNNNNNNNNNNNNNNNNNNNNNNNNNNNNNNNNNNNNNNNNNNNNNNNNNNNNNNNNNNNNNNNNNNNNNNNNNNNNNNNNNNNNNNNNNNNNNNNNNNNNNNNNNNNNNNNNNNNNNNNNNNNNNNNNNNNNNNNNNNNNNNNNNNNNNNNNNNNNNNNNNNNNNNNNNNNNNNNNNNNNNNNNNNNNNNNNNNNNNNNNNNNNNNNNNNNNNNNNNNNNNNNNNNNNNNNNNNNNNNNNNNNNNNNNNNNNNNNNNNNNNNNNNNNNNNNNNNNNNNNNNNNNAAGCUUGAGAUAAGAGGAGACGUUAUAUGUGCUGGAUGUCAAUAUGGGAAAGCACAUCAACUUCCCUAUGGAGAAUCAAAGUAUCAAGCGNNNNNNNNNNNNNNNNNNNNNNNNNNNNNNNNNNNNNNNNNNNNNNNNNNNNNNNNNNNNNNNNNNNNNNNNGACCAGUGAAGCAGUCCUCCAUCAGCGGUUACCGUUACAUGGUAACAUUCAGUGAUGACUUCUCAAGGUACGUAUGGAUUUACUUCAUAAAAGAGAAAUUUGAAGUAUUUGAGAAGUUUAAAGAGUUUCAAUAUACUGUGGAGAAUGAUAUUGGAAGAAAAAUCAAAUGUCUCCGUACGGACAAUGGGGGAGAAUACACGUCACGAGAGUUCAAUGAAUAUCUUAAAGAGAAGUUGAUAAGACGACAACUAACUUGUCCAAAUACACCACAACAAAAUGGAGUGGCUGAAAGAAAAAAUAGACAUCUGGCGGAGAUAUGCAGAAGUAUGUUGCAUAGUAUGAAUGUACCAGCAAGGUUUUGGGCAGAAUGCAUGAAGACUGUUGUCCACAUCAUCAACAGGCUGCCGCAGGCAAGAUUGAGAUUUAUCUCACCAUUUGAGAAACUUAAAAAAAUAGAUUCCUACUGUAAGCCACUUUCGAGUUUUUGGUUGUGUGUGCUAUGUGUUCGUGCCAGAUCAUCUCCGCAACAAGUUUGAUAAGAAAGCUGUUCGUUGCAUCUUUGUUGGAUACGAUGAACAAAGAAAAGGAUGGAAGUGUUGUGACCCUACCACAAAUCGGACAUAUGUGUCAAGAAAUGUGGUAUUUGAUGAAGCAUCAUCUUGGUGGUCCAAAGAAGUCUCCCUGCCAGACUCAAUAGCUCUUGAGCAAAAGCUGCAAGAUAAGCUCAAUGAAGUAGAACAAGGGAACAAGAUAGACUCUAACCAGGAGGUAUCUCCACAAAAGGAAAAGAAAAGCUUACCACAAACUGGAGCUUGUGAAACACCAGAUGAGUUGCAAGAAGAAGUCCAAGAAGAGUCACAAUCGCAACUGAGGAGGUCUACACGACUGAAGCGUCCAAACAUCAAGUACAUAGAUGCAGCAUUAACCGAGGUGGUUAACAUCAAAGAGGCUGCUACCUUUGAAGAAGCUUCAAAGAGUAGGGAUCGGAAUAAUCCGACGAAGGUGGAGAUCCCCAAAGGGUAUGGACGUUAUGAUGCUUGCAAAGUUUCAGGAAUCGCUCACAAAAGACGCAAAGAAAAAAUUAAGUUGGUGUUGAGGGGGAGUGUUAAGAAUUCAUCACCAACUUAAUUCUUUACUUAAGAUAAAUCAAGAAAAAUCUAGAAUAUUCCGGAGGUGUAGAGAAUUGAAGGAAGAUCUCUAGAAUGAGUAUUCUAGAAAGAAUAGUCUAGAAAUGUUCUAGAAAGAAUAGUUCUAGAAAAAGAUAGUUAGGAAUAUUCUAGAAUAGAGUAGUAUGUAUCUCUCUAGAUUCUUCCAUCACCACCUAUAAAUAGAGGUGGUCCAUUUGAGUUGUAAGCAACCAAGCAAGAAACCAAGCAAGAAAUAAGAGAGCAAACAAGAGUGAGUGCUUAAGUCAAAUAGUGUUGCUGAAGCAAGCAACAAGUGUGAUCAAGAUUGUAAGACCGAAGCGGGUCCUUACUUUGAUAUAAUAAAAUUCAAGUUGUGAGAAAUCGAUUGUGCCCGUCGUCUCCAAAACAAUAAUAUUCAACACUCAUCCCCAAUUCUAGAGACUAAGUUUCUCAUCUUCAUUCUUAUCUCUAUCCUUACUUGUUAUUUCAAUAUUUCCAUUGUAAUUAGAUAGUUUGAUUAUUCCAAUUAGAAUAUUAAAGUUGUAAUAGUGUUCCAGUGCUCUUAUUAAUAGUGUGAGAAUUUUGGUUUGUUACAUCAGACGUUCUCUUUUCGAAUAAUUGAACGUCUCAUAUUAUUUGCUAAUGAAAAAUAUCAUGAGUAGGACCCAAAAAGAUAGUAGUACCAGAUAACAAACAAAAAAAUACUGUACAGUCUAAAAAUAAGUAUAGAAUAGCUUGAACUUUUGGGCCGUUGUAUAAAACACCCAGAAAGGGAGACAGGGGAGUCACUGGUCCACUUAAUUAUUACAUGUAGUAAAAUUAUUAGUUAUGUACUAGCAAUACUGGAAGUAUUAUUUCAUGGCAUAUAUUGGUGACUAAGAUAAGUGAUAAGCAUAAUAAAUAAUUUAGAAGUAGGUGGAUUCGAGUCAUCAACGAGCUCCCGGGGAGGAAUGAAAAAACUCUUAAUAAUAACUACAACAUGGAGUGGCCACUGCUAGCAUAGGUGAUAUCCUACGAAUAAUGAUGCCACUGCCUUCCGUCAUAUCCAAAUCCUCCGGUUUUAACACUUCUGGUAAUGCUAAAUUGAACUUGUGCACAAUCCUUGCUAAUGCUAGCUCAAUUACCACAAUAGCAAAACCAGUUCCUGGGCAGCCCCUUCUCCUAAAAUUGUCAACUUUUUAUAUUUUGGCUUACUUGGAAGCAAGUCUAUCCUCUCCUAUCCAAUCAAUUAGGGUGGCCAUUAAUCAGAUAUUAUUAGGCUAAAGAUAACAUAUUGCUCCCUCCGUUUUUAAUUAUUUAUCCAUUUUUUUAGUUAUUCCUAAUUACUUGUCUAUUUUGACAAAUCAAGAAAGAAUAAUUUUUUUUACCUAUUAUACCGUCAAUUUAUUACUUUGAAAAAAGUAGAACUUUUUGAAAAUCUUGAGUUUUUAAUUCAUCCACUUCAUAAUUAAUAUGGGUAAAAUGGUAAACUCACUAUUUCAAUAAUUGUUUUCUUAAUAAGUGUGCCAAUUUAAAAAUGGAUAAGUAAUUAGGGAUAGAGAAAGUAUAUCGAAAUAAUAUAAUCAGAUAUUAUGCUAAAGAUGAUUAACAAAACUUUGAACAAUUAUAAAUAAGAUAGCAAAAAAAUCGAUUAGAUAAUACUUAGCAAAUUAACACGGUUCAACGAUUAGUGAUGGAAUCUGAAUAUGAUUCGGGAUUUUCACUAUUAAUGAAAUUCAAAAGGCAUAAUACAUAAAUGUGCCCUUUAACUUGACUUCAUUUUAUGUUUAUGUCGUUCAAUUUUGGGUAUGCACAUAAACUUGUAUAAAGUUGAACAACUAGCCACAUGAGUUCUACACGACACAAUACAUUUAAGACACCACGUAGGAUAAAAAAUGACAUGUAGGAUACCAUAUAGGACAUGUGUGUCUGUUUCUUCAACUUUAUACAAAUUUAAAUGUCUACUUGUGCACACCCGAAGUUGAAGGGCAUAAAUGUGAUUUGAAGCCAAGUUAAAUGGUAUAUUUAUGUAUUAUGCCUAUUCAAAAUAUGAAUAAGUAAACAUACAAAUUAGCUGACUACAAUAAUACAAAGAUAAAAAAACAAUUUUAAUUAUAUGUAUAAAUAGUAUAAUUUUCCAUCAAAGGUGGUUCAUUUGAUUCCUCACUUCUUUCCCUCAUUUAAAACUAUGCAAUAUGAGACUUUCAUGUCACAUGGAAUCCUUCUCUUUUUUUUUUUUGGAAAUCUUAAUAGCUCAGUUAACUAACUGACUAUUUGAAUUCUCGAUUCCCCAUACUGUAAUCCUCUACCCCAAUUUUUUUCAUUACCUUCCUCACAUAUGUAUAAGACCGAAUCCAAAGAACUAAGAUGAGAGAAUUUUGGGAGAGCCGCCACUCCAACUACUGCCAUGUAUUAUCCAUACUAGAUCUGACCAUCUGUCCAUCCUACCCUCCUCUACGUUCUUGACAACCCAUUUUUGUCUUAGUCAAGUCUUUUAGUGGCACAUUUUGACCUUCUUUUCCAUUACUUAGAAAAAGUGAGCUAUUAUUCAGAUACAAAAUACUAUCAUUAUCGCCUAGAAAAUUAGACAUUCAACCCGUAAUCACAAUGAUCCAAUUACAAAAGCUCUGAACCCCCUAGGUCUAGACUGGCUCUGGCCCCUGGUUUUAUCACUUGACCUUCACAUGAGUAAACUCGUUGAUAUAGAGGAUUACAGUAUCGAUUUCUUUAAAAGAAAAAAACCUUAAUUUAUAAAAGUUCAAAAGAUUUUAAUUCAAUGUUUGUAAGUAAAAAAACAUAUUUCAUAAAACGGUUGCAAAUCACAUCGAAUAAGUUCCAUUGAUUGGUGUAUGGUUCUCAUAAGGGAAGUAACAGCAGCAUAAGCCAUAUAUCCAAAAAAUAGGACUAUCUCUCACUCUCAGUAUGAAAAUGGACAAAUUAAUUGCCACAAGUUAUGAAAAUGGCUAGUCCUCAGAACACCUUAACUACUUGCUGCAGAAUAAAAAAAAGACGCAAAAAAUGGAAAAUAAUAUGUUAGAUGUCCCAUAAUUAAGGAACAAGAGAACAUUAUAGUAAGAAUGAGCAUGCAGGUAUAAGAACUUACUCAUUAUUGCGGCAAGAAGCAACUUCUUUCUCAAAGUCAUCAUCAUCAUCAUCUUCAUCUGUUGUUACAGUAUCAAAUACCAAUUUCUCGAGCUGAUAUAAGUAGCGAAAAUCAUACAGGUCCUUGUGAUUGCGAAAGUCCUCUGGGACGCCAAAUACUUUCAACUUCUUUAAAUUGGGAAAUAGUCUAAAAAAAGACCCUGUACAAUACCAAGGAUUCAAUUGAUUGAGGCAUUGCAAACUUUUCAAAACCAAUCUGUUCUCUGUAGGCUCAUGACUCUGCAAGUAAUUCCAGCCCAUACACAGCUUCCUCAAUUGUGGCAUUGUCAAAAUUUCCGAUGGUAAUAUGAAAGGAUAAGCACAAUCACGAAACGGAAAGUUAAACUUAAAAGUUUGUAGAUAGCAUAGGCUUGAUAUCGAUAGAGGAAUGUCUAUUAUUGAUGAGGGAACAGCUUUUAACGAUCCUCGAUACUGCUUUAAGCAAGGAUAAAAACACAAAGAUAGGUAUCUCAAAUGAAUUAGAGAAAGUACUCCACUGGGAAAAAUUGGGUAUAUAUUCAAACCAAGAUCUAGUACUCUUACUAGCUUGAAAGACAAUUCCAGUGUGAAGCAUUUCAAUCCACCCAACAUGAUAAUAGAAUGAGCCUCACUGUUACGACACCAAGCCAAUUCUUCCUUCUUAUAGAUACUGAUCCGACUUCGACUCUUAAAGGAACACUGCAUGGAUUGUGCACAUGAAUUUUGAUCACUCUUUCCUCUGAUAACAUUCACAAAAUUCAUGUUUCGAGCUUCCCUCAAACAGAGUUCACGGAUCACAUCAUGCAUUCCACAUCUCUCUAUUUCCCCAUCAAAACUCAAAUUGUGGAUAGAAAUUAGACUUCUAUCUACAAGUUCGUUUAUACAUGUUUCUGCCACCUCUUCUAUGCUUUUUCCUUCUUCUUCAUUCAAAAACCCCUCUACGGCCCAUAACUCAACAAGUGCAUUUACAUAAAUCCGUUCAUCCUCUGCGAAAAUUGCAAAAUACAGAAAACACGGUUUUAGGUGAGAAGGCAAGUGAUGGUAACUCAAAGCCAACACUCUCAUGCAUUUUGCUUCAAGAUCUCUGCUUACCACCGAACUUACAUUCUCCGCAACAUUUUGCCACUCAUCCAAUGUUUUACUGAUUUUGGAGAGAAGUCCAGCAAUCAAAGUAAUUUCUAGAGGUAACCCUCCACAUUUUAAUGCAAUUUGUUUCCCAAUAUUUUCAAAUUCAGGAGAAUAAGAACCUUCUUUUUCAAAGAUCUUUUUGUGUAGUAAAUUCCAACUUUCGUCAAAAUUCAUGAGGCGCAUNNNNNNNNNNNNNNNNNNNNNNNNNNNNNNNNNNNNNNNNNNNNNNNNNNNNNNNNNNNNNNNNNNNNNNNNNNNNNNNNNNNNNNNNNNNNNNNNNNNNNNNNNNNNNNNNNNNNNNNNNNNNNNNNNNNNNNNNNNNNNNNNNNNNNNNNNNNNNNNNNNNNNNNNNNNNNNNNNNNNNNNNNNNNNNNNNNNNNNNNNNNNNNNNNNNNNNNNNNNNNNNNNNNNNNNNNNNNNNNNNNNNNNNNNNNNNNNNNNNNNNNNNNNNNNNNNNNNNNNNNNNNNNNNNNNNNNNNNNNNNNNNNNNNNNNNNNNNNNNNNNNNNNCAUGUUCAGGUAAACUGACAAGUGAGCUAGUUUGUGGUUUUAGAUCUUUCAUGCUGUCCGAUGCUGCCAUCCACUGUUUCACGGUGGAAUCAAUGUAUUCUAGUGCUUGUUCCAAGACGAAAAAAAUCUCCCACAUAGCCCUGCUUCUUUCCUCCAAAUUCUGUGCUAAAAAAACAUUUCUUGAUUCCGAGUCAACCAUAUCUUCUGUUGUGUAUGCUACCUCUGCGAUUUCAACUUCCAAGAUUGUUAACCCCUCAUGAUCGCCCAUUAUAUUGCAGGAUUUCUCCAGAAUAGCUCUCAAAGAUUUGAGCUUUUCAUAAAACGGUUGCAAAUCACAUCCAGUAAGUUCCAUUGAUUGAUGUAUGGUUCUCAUAAGGGAAGUAACAGCAGCAUAAGCCAUAUAUCCAAAAAAUAGAAAUAUCUCUCAGUAUGAAAAUGGACAAAUUGCCACAAGUUAUGUAAUUUUUCAGUUUUUAAGAAAACAGAAAAUGCAAAGUUCUUUCUUUUACUAGCUAUUUCCAUCACAUUUCCAGCUAGGUCCACCAACCUUAUCAUCAUGUAGACAAAAGCAGAGACCAAAGUUAAAAAAAAGUAGAAAAAUUUGUGAUCAUUCAUUAUUAGACCGUACACAUAUCUAUUCAUGAAUAUAAGUAUGCUUCUUACAUACAAGAGAUUGAUGAUUUUAAUUACAUUGAAAGCAACUUAGUAGAAUUUUCCAAAUCAAAGAGAGAAAUAUUAAGAUCCAAGUAGGAAUUUCUCUAUUCCUAGUUCGAUUCAAUUAACCAAGCAUAAAUAUCUCUUAAUAUACAUGAGAAGUUUAGACUCUAAAAGUCAAAUCAACAAAAUAUUUAUGGGCUAACACAUGAAAAACUAUUGAGAAAAUCGCCUAAUUUCUGUAAAUUGGCCCUUAAAUCUCCAAAAUGAACUCUAAAAAUUGUCAGACUGUACGUAUUGCUCCCCAACUCCCUACUGAGGGUUCUGUAAAGAUUUCGAUUAGAAUUCGUCCGUAAGUCAUAUCACCAAUAUAUUAAUGACUAACACACACGAAAAACUGAGAAAAUUGUCUAAUUUCUUGAAAUUGGCCCCUAAAUGCCUAAAAUGGACUCUAAAAGUUGUGAGACUGUACGUACUGCUCCCCCGACUCCCUACAGAGGGUUUCGUAAAUGUGUAGCAAAGAAAUCGUCUGGAAGUCAUAUCACUAUAAUAUUAAUGGGCUAACACACACAAACCACUGAGAAAGUCGCGUAUUCCUGUAAAUUGGCCCCUAAAUGCCCAAAAUGAACUCUAAAAUUGUGAGACUAUGUACUGCUCCACUAACUCCCUAUGGAGGGUUCCGUAAAGAUUUCACAAAGAAAUUAUUCGGAAGACAUAUCACCAAAAUAUUUAUGGGCUAAUACAUUUUUAUUUGUCCAUUUGAUUUGACAUAUCUUUCAAGUACUUUGAUCUGGUUAUACUUUUUUUUUAUUGCUAAAAAUAAAUAUCCACUUUUACUUGUUCAUUCUACAAAACAAAGACAAUAUUUUAUUGCUUGAUUCAGAUAUAAAAUUUGAGUAGGCUAAUUUACAAACCAUCUGUAGUCAUCCUGCCCCUAUGCUAUAACAUUUGAAAGAAAGAGGUCAUCAUCAUCAUAUUCAUCAUCGUUGUCAUCUUCAUCAUCAUCUUCAUCAUCGUUGUCAUCUUCAUCAUCAUCUUCAUCUUCUUCAUCAUUAUCAUCAUCAUCAUCAUGAUCGUCAUCGUCACUUGUUUCCUCACUGUUGAAAAAGCCAGCAACAAAAGAUGAAAAAUGAAAUGUUAUGCAAGUAUAACAAGUUACACAAUUACUAUAUUGGAAGGAUUUAAAUCAUAUACAAUGACAACGUAUGAACUUUUACACUAUAGGUGCCAUUUAACUGCUUAUUAAAGCAAUUUAUAAUUAUUUUAUUACUAGUUCUGGACACGUGCUUUGCAUGUGUAUAUUACACGUUUAGUCACGAUUGUAAGAGGGUGUACACCAGGAUCAUUCGAAGAGCAAAGUCGUGUGAGCCUUACAGAUAUUCUUGACGUACUCCUAUUAAAAUCUGUAUCAUAUUCGUAACUUUUUGAAUGAGGUUCACCUUUUUCCUCAUUGUACUUUGUACAUGGAUGUUGUCCAUCACAAUAUCCCCUUUUUCAAAUUUCAUAGCUGAACUACUAGGUGUACGAGUUCCUACCAGAACUACUACCAACUAUUUAUCAAAACACACAUCAACUAUAUAUGAGUUGUUCCCUUUUACUAGUGGUGACAAAUAGGUGGAUUUGGACGGGACUGAAAAUGGAUUGAGCAACAUGGUCGUAACUCACUUAAUCUCUUAAAGCCAGAAAACUUUAAAGAGUUAAUUGAAAUAAACUUAAUGACUAUCCUACUUGAAGUAUCACCGUCGUUCAGGUAAGAAAAAGGAAGUAUAUCAAGGAAGAAGAUGUCUUACAAAGCCUGAUGGAUAUGGACCUCGAUAGAACCUCCAUAGUUGUCUUGAAUGUCCUGUUGAAUCUGCUUUGCGGAAUUCCCAACAGAUUCUGGGCAGUUUCUUAUAUAGAUUAGAGCAAGUGUGGUUAUAUCUGCAAAAUCUUGAGGGAUUGAGUCCAAAAACCUGCAACUAUCAAGAAAUAGUCGUUCAAGGCACGGAAAGUGAUCACAACUAGCUCUCCAGUACUGAAUAUGUGAUCUUUUAAGUAACAAGAACUUCAAAAAAGGAAACCCUUCCUCAGCUACUUCCCACUCCCUGCCUCUGCAUACACCCUGUGUUAGUUCAAGAAGUUCAAGUUUGGGCAAUUUUCCGACAACAAUGCUUAAAUCCUUCCAUGACAAGAAGAAAUUUCCUGUAAAAGUUAAAUUCUUAAGGUUUCGUGGAAAAGCAUCUGGAGGAGGUAAGAUCAAAGAUGGAACAACUUCUACAACAAGUGGAUUCCUUGUCUGAAAACACAUUCUCCUCUCCAAAAAGUAAGCAUUAUUUUGAGGAGGAAGACAAAAUGCUAGUUCCUCGAGAUGAUCUAAGUAGCGAAAAUCAUAGAGGUCUUUGUGACUAUGGAAGUCUUGUGGGAUGCCACGUACUUGCAACUCCUUUAAAUUGGGAAAUAGUCUAAAGAAAGAUGCAGUACAAUAGCUAGGAUUCCAUCCAAACAGAGAAUGUAAAUUUUUCAUAACCAAACUUUUCUCUGUAAGCUCAUGAUAUCGCAAGUAAUUCCGAUCCAAAUGAAGGUGCCUCAACUGUGGCAUUGUCAAAAUAUCUGAUGGUAAUAUCAAAGCAUGUUUACGAAGAUUAAUGACGAGUGGAAGGUAAAGUACCAAACUUUGCAGAUAGCAUAGGUUUGAUAUGGAUGUAGGAAUGUCUACUCUUGAUGAGAGAACAUCUUCUUCGGAUCCUAGAUAUUGCUCAACGUUAGGAUAAAUACGCAAAGCUAGGUGUCUUAAGUGAAUCAAAUAAAGUAUUUCACGGGGAAAAGUUAGACAGAUAUUAUCAGCAAGAUCUAGAACUCUUACUAGCUUGAACGGCAAGUACUCCCUCAUGCAACAUCGGAAUCUACCAAAUAAGAUAACAGAAUGAGCUUCACUGUUAAGGCACCUAACAUACUCUUUCUUAUUAUGGAUGCUGAUUCGACUUCGACUCUUAGACAAACACUGCAUGGAUUUCACAUAUGAAUUUUGAUCAUUCUUUCUUCUGAGAACAUUCACAAAAUUCAUGUUACGAGCUUCCAUCAAACAGAGUUCACGAGUCAUAUCAUGAAUUCCACAACACUUAAUUUUUCCAUCAAAAGUAGUACUUUUAAUGGAAAUUAAACUUCUAUCAAUAAGAUCUUGUAGGUACUUUUCUGCCACUUCUUCUAUGCUUUUCAUCUCUUCUACCUUCAAAAAUCCCUCUGUUUCCCACAAUAUCAUAAGUUUAUUGACAAAAAUCAGUUUAUCCUCUGGGAAGAUUGCGAAAUAUAAAAAGCAUGGUUUUAGGUGGUGAGGCAAGUAAUGGUAACUCAUUGCCAACACCCUCAUGCAUUGGACACCAACAUCUGUGCUUACUGCUGAACUUACAUUUUCAGCAACACUUUGCCACUCACUCAAUGCUUUGUCAAUUUUAGUGAGAAGUCCCGCGAUCACAACAAUUGCUAGAGGCAAUCCUCCGCAUUUCAAUGCAAUUUGCUUUCCAAGUUGUUCAUAUUCAGGGGAGAAAGAGUCUUUCGUAAAGACUUUUUCAUAUAAUAAAUUCCAACUUUCGUCAAAAUUCAUGAGGCGCAUGUGAUGAGGAAGCUUACCUGAGCUAGCAUAUUCAGCCACUUCCACAUUCCGAGUAGUCAAGAGUAUUCGGCUUCCAUUAUGAAAGUCUGGGAAACAUAUUUGUAUAUCAUCCCAAGCUUUUGUAGUCCAUAUGUCAUCAAUGACUACCAAAUAUCUCUUGCCUUUUAGAAGCUUUUGCAGUCGAUCUGCUAGUUGCCCGUCAUGUAGCUGAUCAUAAGGUUUAUCACUUAUACAAGAAAGAAGGUCUAGGAAAACAUUUCUCACACAAUACUCUUGUGAAACAGUAGCUUUUGCACGUAUGUCAAAGCGAUACAUCAUGCAUGGAUCGUUGUAGAGUUUUGUUGCCAAAGUUGUCUUGCCAAUGCCUCCCAUACCUACAAUUGAUACAACUUCUAGUUCUCUUUCUCCUCUAGCAAGUUGAUCCAGCAUCAUCUUGAAUUCAUUUUCAUAGCCAACCAUUAUAACCUCGGACCGCUCAACAGCAAGUUCAGGUAUCUUGGAUAGACAGAAAUUUUGUGCUUUGAAAUCUUUAAUGUUGUUGUACCAGUCCCAUAUUGCCAACCACUGCAUCAUGAAGGAAUCAAUACAUUCUACCUCUUGUUCCAAGGAACAACAGAGUUCCCAGAAAGCUUUGCUUCGUGUAAUUACAGUUUCUGCAGAAGAAACUUUUCUUGAUUUCGAAUCAACCAUGUCUUCUGCUUUGAAUGCUACCUCCGUGAUUUCAACUUCCAAGGUUGUUAACCCCUCAUGAUCGCCCGUUAUAUUGCAGGAUUUCUCUAGAAUAGCUCUCAAAGAUUCGAGCUUUUCAUAAAACGGUUGCAAAUCACAUCCAUUAAGUUCCAUUGAUUGGUGUAUGGUUCUCAUAAGGGAAGUAACAGCAGCAUAAGCCAUAUAUCCAAAAAAUAGGAAUCUCUCACUCUCAGUAUGAAAAUGGACAAAUUAAUUGCCACAAGUUAUGUAAUCUUUCUUUUACUAACUAUUUCCAUCACAUUUCUAGCUAGGUCCACUAACAGGAUAAAGUAGAAAGAUGUGAGGUCACUAACCUUAUCAUCAUGAAGACAAAAGAAGAGACCAAAGUUAAAAAAAAAAAAAGACGAAAAAGUAGAAAAAAUUGUGAUCAUUCAUUAUUAGACCCUACACUAAUCUCUUCAGAAAAAUAAAAUAAAAUUUUAGUUUAAAUAAAGGAAUUCAAGCUGUAUAUUGAUAACGUCCAAUUCAAAUUCAAGUGUAGUACGGUCUAGCAAUAAUAAACUCAACAAAAGUUGGAGUCGAGGAGUACGCUUGUGUCAAGGUGACAGAGAGUGUGCGAAUUUGCUAACAAACAAAAGGUCUUUCUUUUAGCUAGGUCCAUAAUCCAUGUAGUGCUCUAUACUCUCUAGUCUCUAUCAACCAGCUCAAGUUUAAGGGUGUGUUUGGUAUGGAGGAAACAUUUUCUCUAGAAUAGGGAGAGAUUUGUGCAUAAACAAGGAAGAAUCUCUCAGUAUAACAGUGAAUGGGUAUUUUUUUAAGAUUUGCUUCUUUUGUGUAUGACUUUUGUAAGAAACAUUCUGGUAAAAGUUAAAAAAAAUGAUCUUGUGGAAUAGCCACAGUGAAUUCCUUAAUAUUCGAGUAGAAAAAGCCAGAGAGGAUAACAUUGCUAUUUGUACACUUAUCGUGACACGAGUAGUCUCUUAAAUAUUACACCUUUCUACUGAUGUUGCUGAUGCCACUGGAUUUAGCCUUCCGUCUUCCUUUGCAAGGUAGAUCGAGGACUCCCAAGAAAGGAAACACAAGUUACUGGAGUCUGUUCUGGCCUAUACAGUAUGUAUGUACAUAAAAUUUGGAGUAUCUAAAAACCACUGACAAAUGGCUAUACGAAAGAUCAUAUACAAUUAAAUUACAAGCCAUUUGCAAUCAUCCUGCCCCUUUAUGCAGAAUCUUUUCAAAGAAAAUGAAAACGAACAAAACAAACACUCACACAUUUGGCUUCUGAUUUGACAUUUAUUUCAGAGAACUGGCUAGUCGCUGCAGGAAAAAAAAAGACGCAAAAAAUGGAAAAUAAUAUGUUAGAUGUCCCAUAAUUAAGGAACAAGAGAACAUUAUAGCAAGAAUGAGCAUGCAGGUAUAAGAACUUACACAUUAUUGCGGCAAGAAGCAACUUCUUUCUCAAAGUCAUCAUCAUCAUCUUCAUCUGUUGUUACACUAUCGAAAAUGCUAGCUACAAAAGAUGAAAAAUGAAAUGUUACACUUCCCAAAAUCAAGAAUGAGCAUGCAAGUAUAACAAGUUACACAAUAUUGGAAGGAUUCGAAUCAAUCACAAUGACAGCAUCAAGAACUUUUGUUGAAUUGGUGUAAUUUGACUUACUAAAGCUAUUAUCCAGAUUAUUAUCGAGUUUACUAUAAUGAUGAGUUAAAUAUUGUUGUAAAUCAAGGAAGAAGAUGUCUUACUAAAGAUUACGAGUAUGGACCUCGAUAGAGCUUCCAUAGUUGUCUUGAAUGUCCUGUUGAAUUUGCUUGGCGGAAUUCCCAACAGAUUGUUGACAGUAAUGUAUAUCAAUAAGAGCUAGUGUGGUUAUAUCUGCAAAAUCUCGAGGGAUUGAAUCCAAAUACUCGCAAUUUCUAAGAAAAAGUCGUUCAAGGUACGGAAAGUGAUCACUACUAGCUCUCCAGUACCGAAUGUAUAUUUGAUCCAGAAACAAGAACUUCAAGUGAGGAAACCCUUCCUCAACUACUUCCCACUCCUCGCCUAUGACGGCAUUGUGUGAUAGUUUAAGGACCUCGAGUUUGGGUAAUUUACCAACAAUGCUCAAAUCCUUCCAUGCCAAAAGGAAAUCUCCUCUAAAAGUUAAACUCUGGAAAAGAUUAAUUAACAAAAAUUUAUGGUACUAAUUGGGGUAUUAAUUAACAUAUCCUUACUUGAUCACAUAUGUAUUGUUCUGUGUGAAAUUUUCCUCUGACUGAUAGUUGACUAAAUUAUAUUGCAUACGUUCGUGUACAUUUUCUCACUUGGAAGAGUGGAUUUGGACGUAAUUAACUAUCACCAUCGUUUAGGUAGAAAAAAGAAAAUAACUAAUAGUUGAAUGUUUUAAUACAUAGAUGAUCAACUAAUAUGAGAAGAAAAGAGUAGCGUAAAUGUGAGAUUCACUUCUCACCAAGAAUCCUCCUUUCUUAUUAUUUUCCUUUUAGAGGUUAAUAAUUAUUAAGUAUCCCUAGAAUAAUUUAUUGAAAAAGUAGAUUUGAAAGAAAGCAAUUACUCUCUUCUUCCUAUGCGGGACUUCUUGAACAUAACUAAUUUGACAAAAACCACAAUUUUAUUUAUUUUUAGGUGGAAUUAUAUCAAUAAGGAACUAUAUAUGCUUAUGAUAUUAAUCUAAGACCAUUAUUUGUUACUUGAACACAUGGAUUCAUCAUCUGAACAAUUGAAACAAUUAAUACUUGUGUGAACCUUUUUUUAUUUCGAGUGAUGUGUCAUAAUCAUUAGCCAACUAAGACUAGCGUUAAAUUUUUGGUAAGUCUCAAGAAGUGUAAUUAAUACUUAAUAAAAUAAUCUCAUCCUUGAGAUUCAAGAACUUGUUUGGAUUGAAUAGGUUUUUAUCAUCAAGAUCUAGAACAAAGUCUUAAUAUUAGUAAGAGGUAUUUUUGUGUGAAAAGUUUUCUUUGAGGUUCGAGAAAUGGAAUAGAUAUGGACUACAAGUUGAUAUUUCCCAUUGGAAAAUUCACACAAAAAGGAACAAGGAAUUCUCAAUGAAAAAAGCGCUCUCCAAAUCUGUUUAGUAUUUGUCAUGAGGUUCUUAUCAUAAUUGGAUUUUCCUUUUAGGAAAAGGUAAACACAGUCUCCAUAUUUGUCUAGUUCUUUUUCUUGUAGGAAAAAAAUUAUGACUCUAUAAAUAGAUGUUUUGUAACAUCCGACAAUUUGAAAUAGCUAAGAAGAGGCUUGAAAUUUGGAAAUUUUCAAUUUUUGGAAAGGAUUUGAAAAUCUGGAAAAUUUGGCUAAGUAUGGGAAAGGUGAGUUUUUUUGGGCCCAAACUUUGAACAACCAUAAAUUCUAGCUCAGGAUGAGUUAGGUGGAGUUCCGGUUAUGUUUGCAUAGCCCUCGGAACGACCUUUCCAACGCCACUGAGUUUGCUCAAUUCUGAGUUCGUAUGAGCGAGUUAUGGCCAUUGAAAGUUGGGCAGUUGGCAGGGAAUCCGUCCGGAAAAUUAAGGGCAUUUUAGUCUUUUCCCUAGCCAAUUCUUUUGGGAUUAUAUUGUUGUAUAGGGCUGAUCUUUAGAUCAUUUUGUCCCAUUUUAAGAAAUUAAAAUCUAGGGCUUGAGAGUGAAGAAGAGAAGAAGGAGAAGAAGAAGAGAAAAAUCGAGGAGAUCAACAAGUUUCCGACAAGAUCAUCGUGAAUGUUCGUCGGGGGUGAUCCCUAUCAAGGUAUGUGAGCUUUUAGUGUUGGGUGAUACUUUCCCCCACACACCUAGCCCCUUUUAUUUAUUAAGGAAGGAUUGGUUAUGUUGUUAAAGUUGUUAGUUGUUGUGGUUGAAGUUGUUGGAGUUGUUAAAGUUGUUAGUUGUUGUUGUUGGAAUUAUUGUUGGUGGUGGGACAUAAUUGAGUUGUGUUUUUAUGUUGAAAUCUAUUGAAUGUUGAGGGAUUUUAUGUUUCUAAGUGAUUGGGGGCUGGAAUCUUUGAGGUUAGAGGGUUUAGAGUUGGUAACGUGAAGGAGAAAGUCGGGUAGCUUGCGAGGAGCAUGUCUGCGUCGCGGACUUGUUCCUCUGUGAACAAAAAAUCUUCUCCGCGUCGCGGACAGGACGCAGACUCCACUGUUUUCAGAAUUUAUGUUCGAAGAUUUUCUUAGGUUUGGCUGUCCCAAAUCAUUCGCAAAUCAUUCCUAAACAUCAUGAGACCCUUCCAAACACCAAUCAAGUCCUUGAAUCCAUAAUCCAAUUCAAGGUGAGUUAUGAUCAAGUCAAGUGAAGUUAGUUUUCAAGUCAAGUGAAGUUAGAAGUCAAGUGAAGUUAGAGCCAAGCUUAGAAGUUAAGCAAGUCAAAGCAAGUCUUUAAAGCUUUUCAAGAGUCUUCAUUGAACGUUUUGACUUCAUUCUAAGGCUCAAGUUCCAAGUUAAGUAUAGAGUUUCAAGUCAAGCAAAGAGUCUCAAGUUUCAAGUUAAGUAAAGAGUAUCGAGUUUCAAUUUAAGUCAUAAUUUUUCAGUCAAGAGUCAAGAGUUGAGUUCAAUUCUCAAAAGUAAUUAGGGAACUAAGUAUUUCCCAAAGAAGUUUUAUAAGUGUUUUCACAUUUAAGUUGAGAGGAAACGGAGAUUUCCAAAAGAGUUUUGAGAAGUUUGAGCACUAUCUCUUUUAAAAGAAAAGAUGAGUUUUUGAAAAAGAGUUUCUAAAUUAUGAUUAGUAUGACAAAUGGAGUAUGUCAUCAAUGUUUAAACAGUAUGGUCUCUAGAUAUACCAUCAAUGUUUAAGCAGUAUGAAUAUCCCGAGUCAUCAAUGAUCAUAAAAAAAAAAAAUGUGGUUUUGACUUGUUCUAUUUAGAAAGAGUUUUCAAGUGCCUUCGGGCUAAGUUUUGAGUAAUUAUCUCAACUAAAGAAAGAUGUGCUUAAAACACUUAUGAGCUAAAGUAUUUUGGGAGUAGUAUCGAGCACCGAAUUGGGGAAACGAGUUCAUAUUAAACUCAACUCUCCAUAAGAACCAUGUAGCCAAACAUGGGAUUUCUCGGAUCAUACUUUUUAGAUGAUCACGAAAGUUAAGCUAGUGGAUCCAUUAAGCAAAAGUUAAAGUAAGGUCCUAUAUCGAUGGCAAGGUAUAGGAUGGUCCUUGGGCAACGUGAGGUAAAACGUUGUAUCACCACUCAGAUUCAUAGUGGUGGUUUGUCGGUUAGAGAAGCUCCCACAGUAGAAAGAGCAUGGUUCCUCGAGGGUUCUGCUUAGUAUGGAUGGGGGUAUGGGACUUCAUUCAUGCAUUGCACAAGUAGACUUUGAGAGGAAGCAUGGUAUUUUUAUGAUAUUAUAAAUAUGAUUUUUACGUCAUGUUUUAAUAGUUUCAAAAGCUUUAUAUAUAUUGCAUGUGUCUCAUUGCUUUAUAUUAAGUUCAGUUAUUCUUGAGUUGUACAGAGCCAAGGUAAGUUCUCUUUUGUAUCCCUUUUCAAGCUUAAGUUGUUGUUUAGCGGUCCAGCUCGCAUACUCGUACAUUCCAUGUACUGAUGCCAGUUGGCCUGCAUCUUAUGACGAUGCAGACACNNNNNNNNNNNNNNNNNNNNNNNNNNNNNNNNNNNNNNNNNNNNNNNNNNNNNNNNNNNNNNNNNNNNNNNNNNNNNNNNNNNNNNNNNNNNNNNNNNNNNNNNNNCAGUCAGUUAGUUUUGAGUCUCUCAUCUAUGUAUAUAUGUAAAUAUUCUAUUUUGAGACUCGAGUGGCCUUUUUGGCCAGAUGUGUAUCAUUUAAGUUGUUUAUGUCUUUGCAUGGCAUUGAGUUAUUCUGUUGAGUAGGUUUCCGCUGAGUUAAGAAAGCCAGGCCAAGGGUUCGCUUGGGGCCAGCAAUGGUCUCUGAGUGCCGGUCCCGCCCAGGGUGUAGGCUCGGGGCGUGACAUGUUUAUUCAUUCUAGCUUGGUAGCAUUCAUAAUGCAAUCCUAGGGGGCUUUGAGAGUUUUGUGUAUUGUGUGAAGCUAGAGGAAGAAUGUAUGAGACACAAGUAUUACUUUAACACUUGUGUGAACCUCUUUGUAUUCAGAGUGAAUUGUGUGAGGUUAUUCUUCUCUAGAUUUUAUAGUGAUUUUUUCAUCUCCUCUUGUGGAUGUAGAUCGGUUGACCGAACCACGAUAAAUGUUUGUGUCUUUUGAUAUAUUUCUUGUUUGUCUUAUUACUCAUCGUCUUUCAAGGUUUGCUUUGCUAGCUUUUGCAUGACACCUAAUUAUUUCAGUCCCAACAAGUGACAUCAGAGUCAGGUUCAAUGGUUUAAUGAUUCAAUGGUCGAACCAUGUUAAAAAUAAGUGUUCAUCUUGACGGGUUUAGUUCUAGCCGUAACAUAUUUGACAGUAAUGAAGAUUUUUGUUGGAGAAAUAUUUUCAAAGAUGUUUUCUGUGUUGAUAUAUAUAUAUAUAUAUAUAUAUAUAGAUUUUGCAGAGGAGAUGCAAGGUAUUGAAGAUUAUGUGAAGAAGGUGGAUCAAAUUUAUUUUGUCAGAAAUUUAGGCCAAUGGAGAUAUUUGUUUAGUAUUUGUCAUGAAUUUCUUAUCAUAAUUGGGUUUUUUCUUUUAGAAAAAGGAAACCACAAAGUUUCCAUAUUUGGCUAGUUCUUUUUCUUGUAGGAAAAUGUUUGACUCUAAAAUUAUAUGUGUAUUCCUUCUAGCCUAAUAGCAUUUACAAUGUAGUCCUAAGGGGCAUAGAGAGUUUUGUGUAUUGCGUGUAGCUAGGGGGAGAAUGUGUGAGACACAAGUGUUACUUUAACACUUGUGUAAACCUCUUUGUUUUUCCAUUGAAUUGUGUAAGGUUAUUCCUCUCAAUAUUUUGUACUUUCUUUUAUAUAGUGAAUUGCUCAUAUCCUCUUUUGGAUGUAGGUCGGUUGUCCGAACUACGUUGAAUAUUUAUGUCUUUUGGUAUAUUUUUCGUUUGUAUUAUUACUCAUGGUCUUUCAAAAUUUGCUUUGCUAGCUUUUGCCUGAUACCUAAUAAUUUCAGUCCCAACAAAACCAAACGUGAAAGUUGUUUUCCAGCAGACAACUUUUCUAGUAGCUCUACUCUCGACUUGGAUAAUUUAACCAAAAAGGUACGCUUUCGGCCAUUCUACAUGCUGCCUAUGUAGAGACAUGUUUAUCUAAAGUGGAUUCUCUUUUUUGUAGUAGGUAUCAAACCUGUUAUGCCCAUUGACUAAGAAGCUAGGGGUGGACACAACAACUACAUGGACCUCUUUCUUACAUCGGCCAUCACUAUUAAUCGUCUUUGUUAUCACAAUGACCACCACUAUUACCGUCAUCAAACAUCUCUGUCCUCACAAUUACCAUUAUUAUCAACCACUACUAUAUAUCAAACAUUUGCUAUAUUUAUGUUUUUUAUUGACAUAAACAAUGGGUUAACAUGAUAUAAUUUAUUAGUAGUUUUAUAUAUUUUUCUUAUAAUAAAGGAAACAAUCACUUAUACAUUCUUUGAGAUCAUUUAGUUUAAAAUCAGGAGUGGAAUCAUAACUAGGGUUAUAGCUUAGCAUCAAUUCACCUUCUUAAUUAAUGGGAUAAUUUAAUUAGCUAAAUUUGAAUGAAAAGAAGAAGAAAUUGAUUAAUUUAAUUCGUUUACGUUCCAAUGGGGUGUGCAAUAUCCAUAAAUUUGUCAUGUCGUUAUUAGGUGUUCAUGAGAUGCACAUAUUCCAAGCAAAAGUACCUAUUUGAUCACUAGAUGAGUUUAAGUAUUCAAUUUACAAAUUCUGCCAAAUUUGAGGGACUAUCUAGGUAUUAUUUAGAUAAAAUUAUUUGUAUAGUCCACUCUAAACAUACUUAUAAUUAAGCAAGUAACAUAUACUAUAUAAAGAAGCUUCUAGAGAUAAUUAAAGUUAACUCUAUAUAAUUAGAGUUGCAAUAACAAAUACGUCAAAACAUUAAAGUGUUUCACCAAUAAAGUCAUUUUUUUAAUGUCCAAAACUAAUCCAAUGGAAGCUCUAUUAUGUGGAACACCAGAAGAAGUUUCAGUAUUGUUGGUACAUCAUGAAGUAGAAUUUCUUACUAAUCAGACUGUUAAAUUGUUAGAGGCUUAUAAAUACAAAGGUGACAUUCUAGAAUUUUUUUAACUUUUUUGUUUCUUUGAUAUAAUAACUAAAUGCCGUGUGACAUUUUUUUUUAUAUAUAGAGAGAGAUUGAAAUGAUAUGCUUUUUGUUAUCUCAUUUAUGAUUUUAGCAUCGUCCAUUUUUAAAUUUCAUUUAUCUUGUAAAUCUUGAACUUUUCUUUUUCCUUGUUAUCAUAGCACUUUUUAAUUUUUACAAAUUUAUCUAUCCUCGAAGAAAAAUAAUUCUACAUUAGUGAUGGAUGCACAAGAAAUUAGGAUGACGGGAGGGAAGAGAAAGAGCACGAAAAAGACAUGAUAAGAGAUGAUCUGUCUAUCAUUAUUACUUGAGAUAAUAUUUUUUUGUCUUUUAUUGGAUGUAUAAAAAAAAAUGAGGAGAUCUAAUUUUCAUUAAAAAAACAUUUCCCUUUCUAUUUUUUGUUUUUGUUUUUCGUUGGACGUAGACAAAAAAUUGGCAACUCCUUUCUUAUACUUUGUUAGAUCAUCUAAUUACAUAUCUAUGAAAUAAAAUUACCUCAAAACAUUUUAUCCUAUUAUCUUUUGCUUUAAUAUUUAUUUGUUUUUGACAAGCCAUAAAUAAAUUGGAAUAGUUUUUAGAAAUAUAUUCUUUAGGAUCUUCUCUAGUUUUUAGUAAUCCAAUUAACGAAAAAAAAAAACUAAUAUAUACUUUUUAUGUAACCAAUCUAGUUAAGAUUGCACUCAUCAUUUAUAAUAUAAGUUGAUUAAUAUGUGUUAUUUUAAAAAUUAAAGUGCAGAAAUAUAACAUGAAAAUUCACAGUUGAAUUUGAAUAACAAACAAACAUAUCCAAAUGAUACCUUUGUGUACAAUAUUUUUUUUUUCAUAAUUUUCACUGAUUUCAAAUUGCACGGGUAUAUGUAGUUACGGAAGUUAUGGCUCCUGCGGCAAUGUCAAUGCUUUUCAAAGAAAAGAAAAAAAUUGAUGCAAUGAUAAUCAAGGUCAUUUCACCGGAUUCACAUUGCUUUGAGCUCCUGGCACAAGCUGUAACCUUGAACAUCAUCGUAGUAAGUAAGUAUUUAUAAUUCUAUCUUCCACUUAUUAUUAUAGACGGUAAAGUAAGUUUUUUUAAUUAACUAUUGCAUAAUGUAUAUAAUAUUAUUCAAUUUUAAUUGCUAUCUUCUUGAUAUAAUUAUGCAGUUGUCUAUGAUGAACUCAAUGAAUUCUUAGUGAAGAAAGCUUUGGACAAUGGAGCUUACAUUUGCUCGAAGAAGCCUCUUGUCGAGCAAACUAUGACAUUCUUGUGGCAAUUUGUAUGGAGGGAGAAAACACAAAGAGGGAAAUCAAUAAAAAGAGUAGAAACAAAGGGAGAUCAUAUUUUUGUUUGAAGUUAUUGGAGUUCUGAGAAAACAAUAGGUCGUGGUUUUUUCCUCCCUUGAGCAAAGAGGUUUCCACGUUAACAUAUGUGUUCUUACUUUAAGCAUUUAGAUUACUUCUUGUUAUCAGUAUAGUCAAGUGGUCAGAACACGAGAAGACAUGUCACUAAACAACAACAUAUAUAGGAAAAAACAAACUCUGCUAAGUGAUCGAUCCGUGUGUGAUAGUUGCCUUCUUAACCUUGAACUAUUGCUUCCUGCUAGAUUAUAUGAACUUAGAUAUGUAUACAAAUUAGUAUUCAAUGAGUUCCCAAACAUUCGUGCAUAAACAAUUUCCCCUGUUGUCGUGCCACCAGGACUUAGCAUAUGUUCUGUAUUUGUAUAAUUUCGAUGAUGAUCAUGAGAUUGCUGGGAUAAUGGAGGCAUAUUAUUAUUGUGUAUUAGACCGUGACUCCUACAUCUCGAACUAGGAGGUCUUUGUGGUAUGACUAUACCAAAAUUCUAUACCAAAAUUCGGGGCCUUAAUUUCAGAUGUUUUUGUAGCUUGACAGCGACCAUAGAGUGGAAUCAAUGUUUUUUGUGAGACUUCAGCUUUGCAAACAGGGCAAUUUGGUUGUUGGUUAUCGAUGUUCUCUGAUGAAAUGGUCUUAAAAUGUAUCCAUUUGUAGAUGCAAGGCCAACAAUAGGAGGUGACCACAUAAUGUAACAACAGGAUCAUGUACAACAUCUAGGCAAAUGUUGCACUCGAAACCUCCAGGUGAAUUUUCUUCAAGUUUAUCAAGAUCAAUUGUCUCCAUUUUUCAAAGGAAAUAUCGCGUUGAUCAAAGGUAGUUUCUGCUAUUUGGUCUUGAAAAAUUUGUUCUAAGGCCAUAUUUGCCUCUUGGUAUUGAAUUAUUUUGGUAAUGGCAAGAUGAAGAAUGGUUAGAAUUCAGGUUUUUAAUACAAUUAGAAGUGAGUAUUUAUAAGGACAAAGAAUAGUAGUUUGCAAACAAUGAUUCUUAAGGUUGUCACUUGUCAACAUCACAUUAUGUUAAAGGGGCAUGGCCAAAAAGAAAAGGCCCUACACAUUAUUAAACAACACUAUAUCAUAUUACUCAACAGUCUUGAUUUAUGGGGUAUUGUUUGAUUUGAUAUAACAUUUAAUAAGAAAAUGAAGACUUUUAAAAUAUGUACUGUAUUAAAGAUAAAAAAUAAAUUUUAAGUUUUUCGAUCCUAGAAAUGAUAUUCUUUUUAUAUUAAGACUAAAACAAAUGUUUUACAUAAAUUAAGAUAGAUGAACUAUCAAACACAUCAUAAUUAAGUGAUUUAAUGAAGUCAAAAAUAAAUAUUAAUGGAUCAUGGUUAAGUGAGAGGAGUUUUGUGCAAACACGUCUUUUAUCUAUCUAUUUGAUUUAAACAAGCAUAAGUUUUAUCAUAUUAGAAAUAUGAUUAGGACCUUAUAUUAGGCCCCAUGAUAGGAAUCUUAAUCUAGAAAAUAACUUUUAGUCAAUAAAAAGUAGCACUAGUUGCGUACAAGGAGCUACCACUUGAUGACCUUCCACACUUCCACAUCCCAUAAGUUCAAUAGUUUUCACACUAUAAGAACUAGAUGUUUUUUUCCGCGUGAAUCAAUAAAAUUUUUAGUUUUAUGUUAUAAAACAUGAUUUUUUUCAUUUUGAUUUUAUUAAACUAAUUCACUAAGAAAAUUCAUAACGAAACAUAAGUUCUCAUUGAAAUACUGGAAAUAGUCACUUGGAAAUUUAUGAGUUUUAGGAAAUUAUGCAUCAAAACUUAGAAAGACGCGGCUCAUAUAGAAAUUUGUUGUUAAAUCAUAAUAUAUACUUUUACAUCUGAAUAUCUUUAUUGAUUUGGUUAAAAUUAUAAUUAAAAAAAUUACAAUACAAUAUAUAUAGAUUCACAUAAAUUUAAUACUGUAAGUUCAAUUAUUAUUCAAUUAUUAUUAUGAUAUAUUAAUCUAAAAUUAUUAUAGAAGCUUCUAAACUCUAAAUUCAGAUCCAACUAAGGAGUGAAUAUACAUAGUGGGGGUCUGGGGGAUGGGAGAAAACAUAUGGACGGUGUGACAAAUAAAUAAAAGAAAUACUCCGUCCAUUCCAUUUGACUUAGUAUUGUUUGACUUAAUACGAUGUAUAAGAGAAAAAAAAGAUUUUAGAAAAUUAUAGGCUAAAACAAUUUUUAUAUAUUUAUAUAAUUGUAAAUCAUUUCAUUAAUUAAGGGUAGAUGGAGAAUUUUAAGUUUAAUUAUUUUCAAUUACAAUAAAAUGACAUUUUUAAAGACGGAUUAUGAGAAUAGAGUGCCACGUAAAAUAAAACGAGAAAAUACUACUCCCUCCUUCCCAUUUUAUAUGUUACCUUUUUACUUUACAUUUACAUUAAGAAAUAAUGUAACUUUACCCUUCUACCCUUAUUUAAUGUUUUCUUAAGUUAACUUUAUAACUCCCUCCGUCCCAUUUUAUAUGUCAUCUCUUUCUAUAAAUAGUUGGACCACAAUACUUGUCAUUUUAUAAAAUUUAUGUAUAAAUUACCAUAUUUUACCUAUUAUAUCCUUGAUAGAGUAGUUAAUUAAUCUUGAAAAUAUAUUCAUCAUUUAUUAUAAAUUGACUUAAGAAAAUAUUAAAUAAGAAUAGAAAGAUAAAAUUACAUCAUUUCUUAAUAAAAGUAUAAAGUAAAAAUGUGACGUAUAAAAUAGAACGGAGGGAGUACUACAAAAGAACGAGUCCGCACAUGCAUUAUACAAGUACUACAUGUGUCUCGAAUUUAGCAGCCUUUUGUCAACUUUUUAUAUUUUGGCUUACUUGGAAGCAAGUCUAUCCUCUCCUAUACAAUCAAUUAGGGUGGCCAUUAAUCAUAUAUUAUUAGGCUAAAGAUAACAUAUUGCUCCCUCCGUUUUUAAUUAUUUAUCCAUUUUUUUAGUUAUUCCUAAUUACUUGUCUAUUUUUACAAAUCAAGAAAGAACAAUUUUUUUUACCUAUUAUACCGUCAAUUUAUUACUUUGAAAAAAGUAGAACUUUUUGAAAAUCUUGAGUUUUUAAUUCAUCCACUUCAUAAUUAAUAUGGAUAAAAUGGUAAACUCACUAUUUCAAUAAUUGUUUUCUUAAUAGGUGUGCCAAUUCAAAAAUGGACAAGUAAUUAGGGAUAGAGAAAGUAUAUCGAAAUAAUAUAAUAAGAUAUUAUGCUAAAGAUAAUUAACAAAACUUUGAACAAUUAUAAAUAAGAUAGCAAAAAAAUCCAUAGUAAAUUAACAUGGUUCAACGAUUAGUGAUGGAAUCUGAAUAUGAUUCAGGAUUUUCACUAUUAAUGAAAUUCAAAAGGAAUAAUACAUAAAUGUGCCCUUUAACUUGACUUCAUUUUAUGUUUAUGUCCUUCAACUUUGGGUAUACACAAAUAUGCACCUAAACUUGUAUAAAGUUGAACAACUAGACACAUGAGUCCUACAUGACACAAUACACAUAAGAUACCACGUAGGAUAAAAAAUGCCAUGUAGGACAUGUGUGUCUAUUUUUUCAACUUUAUACAAAUUUAAAUAUCUACUUGUGCACACCCAAAGUUGAAGGGCAUAAAUGUGAUUUGAAGCCAAGUUAAAGGGUAUAUUUAUGUAUUAUGCCUAUUCAAAAUAUGAAUAAAUAAACAUAUAAAUUAGCUGACUACAAUAAUAGACAGAUAAAAAAUAAUUUUAACUAUAUGUAUAAAUAAUAUAAUUUUUCAUCGAAAGAGGUUCAUCUGAUUCCUCACUACUUUCUCUCAUUCAAAACUAAGCAAUAUGAGACUUUCAUGUCACAUGGAACCCUUUUUUUUUUUUUUGGAAAUCUCAGUAGUUCAGUUAAUUGACUGACUAUCUGAAUUCUCGAUUUCCCAUGUUGUAAUCCUCUACCCCAAUUUUUUUAUUACCUUCCUCACAUAUGUAUAAGACCGAAUCCAAAUAUCUAAGAUGAGAGAAUUUUGGGAGAGCCACCGACUCCAACUACUGCCAUAUAUUAUCCAUAUUAGAUUUGACCAACUAUCCAUCCUACCCUCCUCUACGUUCUUGACAACCCAUUUUUGUCUUAGUCAAGUCUUUUAGUGGCACGUUUUGAUCCUCUUUUCAAUUACUUAGAAAAAGUGAGUUAUUAUUCAGAUACAAAAUACUAUCAUUAUCGCCUAAAAAAUUAGACAUUCAACCCGUAAUCACAAUGAUCCAAUUACAAAAGCUCCGAACCCCCUAGGUCUAGACUGGCU